This 49057-nucleotide long non-coding RNA is filed under the name Citrus maxima (pomelo). RNAcentral's name for it is "long non-coding RNA (CMAX_LNC001264)". The record is from RNAcentral. Lineage: Eukaryota; Viridiplantae; Streptophyta; Magnoliopsida; Sapindales; Rutaceae.
UACUCAAUUUGAAAAUUAACUAUAUAAAUUUUCAAUCUUCAGGAGGAAAGUAAACAAAUAUUAAUUUUCAAUUUUCAGAAUAUGGGGCAUGAAAAAACUCAAUAGCACAGAACACUACUUCAGCCUAAGAAAUUAGGAAUUAAAAUAAUUUAAGAAGAUGCUUGUUUAAGACAAUUGCAGGUCCUAUAAAGUGGCUUAGAAACUCUCGCGCGCCAUGUGAAUAUCUGGCACAUGAAUAUGCGACCGAUCAAGCACAGAUAAUGACAUAAUGGAAACAAACUAAGGCUCCAUUACAGAAUGAGAAAAGGUCUAUGAUUUGUAGAAAGUUGGAUUAGCAAAGCGCUUGAUACCAUCAUUCAACUAAUUUUAUGGCCUGACCAUCAGUGAUACAAUGAAACAAAUACUUUCUAUAAAGUCAUAAGUUUCUGGAUAAAGCUAAAUGGUUUGAAAGGUUUGAAAUAUACUUGAAAGCAGGCAAACUGUCGACAAUUAUGCUUUUAGACUCAAAAUACAGAAAGAAAUUUGGUAAAGGAGAAACAAACGGUACAGAGAAUGAACAGUUGAAACACUCAAACACCAGUCAUCAGUAAGAUAGAGAUGGACGGGAAAAGGAGUACCUUAAUGAUACACAUGCGGCUGCCAAUUCCGGCUUGGGCACUUCAUAGGGUAUCGCCUGUUGUAGUUUGAUAGACCGCUUGUGGCAUACAAUAGUUUACCCAUCAGCUUCAUCAUUCUCUCCCCUUCUUAAGGGAUCAGUUCUGUAAGUCACUCUCAAUCCAGCAGCAGAGUAGGAACCUGAGGCCAUGUCUUCUCUCCUUGGAGGUGGCAGAUAUGGGUCCAAAGAUGAAGCACCAUAAUAGCUUGUAGGAAUCGAAGGCUGUAGCUACAGGGAAAAACUCUGAAUAGCUGUUCAUGUCUGGAACCCACAUAAUAAGUCUGAUAAUCUCUCUCAGCCAAGUACAGAGGAUCAGCAGGAGCAAGUCCCUUGGAUAGAGUGAUGGUGUCACCAUAUAUGGAAUAUGGGUAUCUUAGAAGGUGUUGUUGCCCUCUUCAUGGCCUCUCUGGUACCUGUCUAAAGAAGCAUCAGUGUGAAUUAGCAGCCAGGCUCUUCCUCUCUCUCUAAAGACCAGAAGCACGAUACUCUUUCCAGUAAUGUAUAUAUCAAGGGGAACUUCCUCUCUUAGUGCAGAUCCUUUAAAUAUACAAUACAUGAUUGCCCUUUCAGGAGAAAUUCGAUUACAUCUCCUAGAACUAGCAUUAGAAUAUGGAUCUCUAGCAAAUAUUUCCCGGUUUGACUCUCUUACAAGUGCAUAAACUUCCCUAUUUUAAGCUCUUGGCAGGGAAGCAGAGAAUAGGUAAUGCAGUUGCAUGGGCUGCAACAGGUCGGAAAAGUUCUGAGAGCUUCCUAACCUGAAAAGAAAAUUUUAAAAUAUCAUAAAUUCAUGGAAGAAGCUUGAAAUAUUAUGAAUUCAAGGAUAUAAGAUGAAAUGGUCACCAAACCACUGAAGGAAAUACAAAAUUUCUACCUGUCUGGGAGUAAGCUCAAUUUUGAACUUGUGUUUUUCAUCAUAAUUUUUCUUAAUAGCCUUAUUGAAUACGCUUUCAGGGAAAGAAGACAAUCCCCGUGGACAUUAAACGGAUCAAAAGUUGUCAGCACAAAGAUGUGGCUAAAUUUAUUAAAGAAGUGAUAAACAACUAUAGAACUUAACCUGAGCAAUAAAGGCCAUGGCACAAGCUUUCGGCUCAAAAGAGGAUGCCUUGUAAAUCCCAUACAUAAGCUUGAGAUCAAAAUCAUAGAGAAAAGUAUAUCAAAAAAAUAUACAAAAAAAUCAUUACGAAAAGGCUUAAGCCCAGGUUUGAUAGCCAGCAGAAGAUAUUUCAUUUGAGCAUACGAAUAUAUUUGUCACUUUAUUAACAAAGUAAGUAAGUGACAAUGAGUGUAGUUGAAGCAUGGAAAUUGUGUCAAAAACAAAAAAAUAUGAACCACGACCACCUUUUCUAUGAAAAAUCUUCUGGGUUCCCCAUCUCCAAAUCAACACAAAACCAGAUCUCAAAAUUUUCAAGAACAGCAACGUGAAUUUUCAGUCAAUAAGCCAAGAUGAGAAAUUUAUGACUCUUCUUCAACUCUCUCUUAAUUAAAAGAGACCACUCUACUGUAUAGAGAGAGAGAGACAGAGAAAAAGAAUGUUAUAUGUAGUUUUCUUUGCUUUUGUAAUAAUUUUGCAGUUAUUACUGCAAGGAGAAGAUAACCACGAAGGAGUUUCCACGAAAAAACUAGACAUUAAUCACAUUUUGUUUGGUUAGUGCCCGAAAUUCUGAACCCAGAAAGUAAAAUAUUAAAAUUAUAUAACAAUAAUUUUAUUAUUAUUAUAUUCUUAUUCAUUAAUAGAAUAUUGUAACUUUAAAUCUAGCUGCAGCAAUACCGUAAUGGAAUCAAAGAGAGCAGAAAAUUUCUUGUAAAAUUAAUUAAUCAAUAAUUUGAGCUUCUUUAGUUCUUUUCCUCAAAACGCAGCAUUUAAUUUGUUGGUUGUCCUACCAUUCAAUUCAAUAAUUCAAUGGACCACGUCGCACGCUGCAAUUUGCUUUUAAAAGCAAGAGAUGAAUUUGAUGAUCAACUCUCACAGCUGGCUAUUAGCCUAGAAAUAUGCUCUGCUAUUUUUUUUAUUUUUUGGUGGCUUCUGCAGGCUGUCUCCAACUCAAAAACUUUCAUUACUUAUGCAAAAGGAGAAAAAAAAAAAAGCCAUAUUAAUUUGUUUCCGAUUUUCAUGAUAUGGUCUUAAUAUAGAAAAUCUGAGAUUAUUUGCCCAUGACAAUUUGCCCCAUUCACAAUUUUUUUUAUUAAAUUAAUAAAAGAAACACAAAAAUCUCAAAAACAAAGGUGUGUUUGGUAUCGUUUCGUUGUUUUUGAAUUUUGUUUAGAAAAUAAGAAGGAUUAGUUUUUUGGUAAAAAUGAAAAUGUAUUUGGAAGUUUAUCUGAAAAAUAUAAAUAGUGAAAAUGUGUUUUAAUAUAAUUUUUUAUAAAAAAUUUUUAGAAUAGUUAAAUUAUAUUUAUAAAUUUUAGAUUUAUCUUUUCGUUAUUUUAUAUAUUUUGCAAAAUUGAAUAACAAGUAAAUAAUGUAAUAAUAAUUAUUGGUAUCAAAUUAUGACUAGUUUUAUUUUUUAUAUUAUUUCAAAGUUUUAUUAAAUAAAAUAUUAUAUACUAAUUUAUAUAAUAUCCAUGAUUAUUUCAACAAAAAUUAAUUAUUAUUUUAUUUAUGCAUAAACAUAACAAAAUCUACCGUGUAUUUAUCAUGUAAGUUCCAUGUUUGUAUUUAAUACUUUUGGGCCUACAAUUUUUUUUCACAGAAAAAGAUUACAAAAGUCACAAAAGUAUGGUCCCCAUACAUUUAUGUAUACAAGAUAUAAAAAAAUUCAGAUAACGCUAAUAAUGUGUUUUCUACAUUUGUUAAGAAAAGUUAAAGAAUGAAAAUAUUUCAUUCUCGACAAUUUCUUAUUAUCACUAUGAAACACUCCUACCAAACGCUUUUUUUUUAAUUAUUUUUAUAAAAUAAAAUGUUCAAUAAAAAAUGGUACCAAACACAUCCUAAAUUUCAAGGUCAUGAGACAUUCAAAUUAACAAAUUCAAAACGCCAUGGAACAGUUGCAAAGUGUUGCUUUACUAGCAUGCUAGCAAGGCUAAUGAGUAAACAAAAUCACAAUAAGUAAAAGUGAUUCAAUUGAAUCCUCUAUUCUUAUCCUCCAAUGAUCUCAAAAAGAGAGUAAGUGAUAGGAUGAAUGAAUCUAACUUAUCAAUUAUAUAAAAUAAAGCCUUGAAGCUCAAUACUUACAUAUUGCAUGGGUGAAAGUCUAUUUAGUCCUAUAUUUUAAGAUUAGUGUUCCUCUGUAUUUUAAAAAUACCUCGGUUAAAGUAUUGACAGUUAAUUGACAUUAAGCAAGCACCGUUUGCACACUUGGUAGUUUGCAUACAAUUUUUGACAAUCCAAACAAACCAAAAAAAAAAAAUAACGGUUAUCAAUUUAACGGCAGGGAAGUUUCUAAAUGGAUACUUAUCUUAAACUAUAAGAACUAAAUGAGCUUUUACCCCAUAUUGCAUAGUAACCUUAUUACCUAUUGAUAAGAAUGAAGUGAAUAUUCAAAACAAUCAGUUAAUAAUUGAUUUUUUCUAUCUCAAUUAGUGAUUAAGAAAAGCUGAUUGUUAAUUAGCAUAAAAAUUGACUGACUCAAUCUUUGUUAAUCUAUCAUUAUUCGCUCAUAUCAAUUGUAUUAUUUUCUUUUUCAUGUUUUAAAUGCUUAUAUAAAUGAGUCUUUGUGCUCAUGAAUUAACAAGAGUGAAGUUUAUAUUGUUUUUAAAAAGUUCUCACCUAUAGUAAUAUGGUGGGUUCUGUGUACGAGAGAAAUGAAUUAUACUGUAGCACUGUUUAGCCCAUAGAAGUGCAGUGGUAGAAUCCUCAAAAUCUUUUUUUUUUUUAAACAUUUGAUUUACAAUUUCUAUAACUUUUUCCAAUUGCCAAGUUACUAAUUGCAUCAUAGUGCAAGGAGGGAUAUCUGUGUGCUUGUUAUGCCCUAUUUGUGGGGAAAAAUUAAAAGAAAAAAAAAAUAAAUUAUAAGAGUCGACAAUCGAACACCACUGCCUCAGGGUGAGGCCCAGCAGCAGAAACUGUAGCUGAAUAUGUAGGGGAGAAAUAGGCAAUGGAAUGCCGCAUUAUUAUAUUGGUUUACCUAAACAAAGAAACGAUACUCAAACGUCAAAGUGGGCUGCAGCACCGUAAUGGAAUCAAUGAGAGAAUAAGUAACAGGGUCGUUUAGGCUUAGCUUCUUUUUUUUGAAAAUUUCUUUUAUUUUUCCCUUCUUUGUUAAAAAUUCUUUUAUUUUUCCUUCUACCAAUCAAUUAGGCUAGGUUUCCUUUUCUUGCAAACUAAUUAAAUAAUUCGAUGUAACAAUUAGUACCAAGUUUAAUUGGUGAUGGGCAUAAUAUAUUAACAUAUUUCCUCUCUAUUUUUAUAUUAGUUAGUCUCUUUUAUUUAUAUUUUUAGAUGGUUAAUUUAUUUAUUGAAGAUUAUGGAAUAAAUUGUGCUUAAAGAAAUCAAAUUGGAGAAAAGCCAAAUAUUAUUUUGAUUUAUUAUUAAUGGGCUCAUGGCUAAAUGAAAUUAAAUUUAUUGGACUUAAUUGUUAUAUUUAUAAGUAGACAUAAAUUGAUUUCGAUUUGUCUUUUAAAAUUAGGAAUUGAUUAAUAAUUAAAUAAUUGUUAAGUUGAAUUGUGUGGUAGAUUCUUAAAUACUGGUAGCCUUAAUCUCUUGAAUUCUUAAUUUGCUUGCAUAUUUACUUGUAUCUUUAGUUCUAAUUUUCUUAAACAAAAUAUUUUCUUUCUAUGUAAAGGUAUAAUUAACUUAUAUUAAAUUUUACUUUCCUAAAAAUUAACAGUUCUUAUAGGUAUGACUUCAUUAUUCUUAAUAUAUACUUCACUUGACUUAUGCAUUUACAAAUACAUUAAAAUUUGCACAAAAUUUGACUAUGUGCAUUUCUCAGGUGACAAGAAUACACACACACACACAUUUAAACUGCCUGCAAACCCAUGUACCUUAAAAUGAACAUUUACAUUUCUUAAAAUGAACAUUUACAAACUGUUUAUGAAACUAAGAAAUUGCACCCAUACAUUGUCUAAAUUUAAUGUUUUUGGCAACAUACCUUCUGCUCCAACUCAAUUUACUUGCAAUCUGAUAUCCCAAAAAAAAAAUUCAUAAGUUUCCGUUAUAUAAAUAAUUACAUUACAUGGCAAAUAUUUGAAAAAUGAAAAUCGAAAGAUUAAACAGAGAAAAUAAGAAAAUUUCAGUAUCUGAUGUAAAUUAACAUAUAAACACCAAAAAAGCAAAUAAAAAGAGAUUUAAGUUUCAGAAACUCGUAAUAAAAUAUAAAAUGGAGGAAUCAUGUACCUGAGGCUAGAGAUAAACGAAUGAUGGUUUUUGAGGAUAUGUAGAGAUUGUUUUCUAAAUAGGACAGAAUCUUAAUUCUUAUGGCUUCAAGAGGAGGUAUGUUCUUAAAAAUAAAUACUCACAUGUCAUAAUAUCAUUUAUUUAUUAUAUAGUUGACAUAUGAUCUUAGAGUUACUUUAAAAUUCCUUAAGGAGAUAGAUACAACAUGAAUCUUUCCCUAUAAGAUAGGGAUUAUCCCCUCGAAGAUUAUCAUUGACUAUAGGAGACAAAUCCCUUGAUUUUAGCCUUUUAGUGUGACUGUGAUUAUUUAAUUAUCUCCACAUGCCACAUUAGUUUGAAAUUAUCUACAUAUGCUUAACCCAUAUAAUUAUUAAAAUAUCCUCAGUUAAAUUAGGUUGAUACAUGAAUUGUAUGACUCAUUGUUGUGUAACGAGUAGUAAAUUCUAUGUAUCGUGUAUUUUGUUGCACUACUCAUGCCAAAACAAUUUUGUGAGAGUAGUGAUAUUUGAUCCCAUGUAUUUAUUUCAUGUCCUUAGUUUUCAAUUACUCAUUUAUUUCCGAAUUUACCAUUAUUAAAAAAUAAAAAUACAAAAAGUUCUUUUAUUCUAUGAUUUAUCUCUCUCUCAGUCUCUUGAAUUAUCAAUUUCUGAAAAUUGAGCGAAAAUUGAAUUGAAGUUGAAAUUUUUUAUCAGAGGAAGGGAAUUAAUAUUAAAACAUUUUUAACAAGAAAAGGACCAUUAUAAAUAACUAGUUAGCGUGUUCAUAUGCAUGCGUGUAUGAAAUAAAAACUCACAAUUAGAAAAUUAAAAACUUAUAGGAGGUCAAGAAAAUCUAUACUUCUAAUACUAAAGGUAUUAACAAUAAGUUCUUGCUUGAAACAUGUCCCAAAUUUAAUGGCAUUCUUGAUAUUAAACUAGAACCAUCAAAGAUAAAAGUUUAGAAGCUAUAUAUUUACUCAACCCACCAACUUAAUCAGGGGUGGCUUUAAGCAUAGGCGAACAAAGCGAUUACCUAAGGCCCUAUAUUUUUUGAAUGCCUCAUUUUUUUUUAGUAUUUCUUAAUAGUUAUUUAAUUAAUAAUCAUCUUUUUAAAAAAAUUAUGUAUUGUAGAAAGCCUAUUAGACAUCUUUAUAAUUAACAGUUAAAUCACAACUAAGAAUUAUUAUUUUUAACAGAAAAUCAGUAUUUGGUAACCUUAAUGUUCAAGAGAUAUAAUUAAUAAAAUUGUUUAGCCAUUAAUUCAUUCAUUAUUAGUUUUUCAAAAAAAAAUAAAUUUUUUACCUUUUAAGUUUCCUAAAAAAUUAAAUUCUUUGACUUUUAAUAUUCCUUUUAAUUUCCAUUAAAACCUUGUAAUAUAAAAAAUCAAUAAAUAAAUAGAUUUCUUGCUCUCUUUUUUUUACGAAGAGAAUUAUUACAUUCAUUGAUUCAUUUAAAAAGAAAAAAUUAGUUUCUUAAAAUACAAUGUGCAUAUCUAUUAUUUGAUAAUCAAUUCAUCAUCUCAACUUUCUACUAUUCUAAAUAUUCUAUUUGAAAAUAAUAUUGUUUUUAUGUAUUUGUUUUUUUAUUUUUGUAAUAAUUUUAAUGGAAGUAAAAAAGAUAUCUUCUUGGUUUUUUUUUAGGUUUGGUUUUUGAAAAUUUUUAAGAUAUUUUUUAUUACUAUUAAAAUUCAAGAGUUAAAAGUCGAAUGAAUUUUUUAGUCUUAUAUUUCUUUAAGUAUUAAAAUUGUAAAAUAAAAAAAGGCCCCACAAAAAAUUUUUGCCUAAAGCCCCAUAUACUCUAAAGCCAACCCUGAACUCAAUCAUAGAUCAGAGCCAUACCCUUAUUUUCUGUUUUCAUGUUGUAAAAUCUGUACUUCUAAUAAUUUUUAACAGCGCAUGUAUUAAGCGCGUUGCCAAAAAGUGGAUUUCACAACAAUCAUCUUGUGAAGGUGGCUAUAUUCUUGUUGUUAUAUCCUAUUUUUCUUUGUACUGGGGAUGAUGAACAAACCAAAUAUAAAUCAGACACGAGCAAAUAAAUUAAGUAUAAGGGACCACAAUUCUAAAACUGGAAGUGAAUUGUCGUCUCAAAUUUAAUUGCAAUGACAAAGAAUUAGGUGAAGUUGCAGAAAAAUUUUAGAAAAGUGGUAAAGAUGACAACAAAGAUUGUGAUGCUUUUAGAGUUUGCUAGCUCAAUUCUUGCUUCAUGCCAAGCCUACUUUGACCAAUACUUUAGCACAAAUGUUACAGGUUCGAUUUUCAUUCCGAACUGUAACCUGCACAGCAUAGCUCUGACAGAGCACAUUACGUAUAUUGUGAGUUGUCACUGUUUUUAAUUUACUAUUGUGAAGUCAACUAACUGGUAGAGCCUCAUUAUAACUAAUGCUGUAAAUGGUUAUGUUUGCGGCUGAUUUUGGGUCAAUGAAUAAAAAACCACAAAACCAACCCAAGAGCAAUAAAUUUAUAUUUUUGUCGGAGAGCGGGGUACCUCGCUUGUUCGGCACGUGCGGGCUGUUUAGGCUUUUUGUGGAGUGAAUGAGGAUUGAGAUGACGGUGGAUAUGGAGGGGGUCUGACUUCAGGUGUGGAGGCUGGUGAAACUCGCCUUAAACCUGCGAAACAACAAAAAAAGAGGUCAAAGGUGGAGCCGGGGGUGGCCGGCGACCACACUCCGACGCUCAAGUCAGAAUUGGUUAUCUCAGGUUAGAGAGCUUGCAAGCUCUCGGUAAUGGAGAUUUUGAGGUUGAAGAAACCCUAGUUUUUUGUGGUGAGUGUGUUUACUUACUUGAUAAAAAUCAAACCUGAGUAUUUAUAUGGUGUACCCCGGUCGUCGUGCCACCUGGCGCUAUUUUAGUGGCGUUCCCUGCUGUCAUGUCAGGAAUAUUCUUAUUUUCAUGCGUAUGGCGGCUUAGACGUUUCAAAAAUAUCAGUGGAGAGCAAGUUUGUGGCGUAUUCACGUGCUGGGCGUAGUGGAGUGGUCCCGUGUACCUCUGCAAUUCCGUUGUAAUUUUGCAGGUGUAGCAGGAAAAGCUGGUGGUCCCAACUGUCAUAAUAUCACACUUUUGGCGGAUUCGCUAGCGUGACAGGCGGCUGUCUCUCUUUUGCGGCACAAGAUUUCCUUAUUUUUCGACACGUAUCAAAUGGAUCUUUUUAGAUUCGGGGCCCACAUAUCCCUUCACAUAUUUACGAAGAUUUUUAUAUCAUUUCAUGGUGUACCCGAGGUACCCCGGAGUCCUUAGGGUAGCCGAGGUACCUAGAGUACUCGAGAUACCCGAGGUACCCAAGGUACCCGAGACAAAUUAAUCUCUUACAUAUCGACACGUGGCGCUUCAUCAUUGGUCUCGUAUUUCCUUCCCAAACAACAUCCCCCUAGUUUCUUUGUGGCGAAUGUAAUUGAGGCACAAGAAACUCUUGGAGGAACUGUGCGUGACACGUGGCGAUAUUUAUACACUGAACUAAUGCAUGUCUUCCUGGAGGAACAUCCCCCUGGUUUUUUUUUUUUUUAAAUACCAAUCUCACGCAAACAUCCUUGAUCUUCUUUUCGUGCAGUGUGCUCUGUCAGGUUUAAUUAAAAACUCCUUAUGUGAAUGCCAAUCUCUUGUCGUUUAUUUUGAAAAUCCCAACAUAAUCUCCCAUCAAAUUUAAUUACUUCCAGUGGCUUCUUGCUUGCUCUGGCUUUUAAAAUUCAAAAACCAGUCAAAUCAUUUCAAUCACCAGCUUCACAUUUUUUUUUUUUAUAAAUCACCUUCUGCACGUUUUCAUUCCCCCUUUAUUCUCUUUCAUUUUGCCAUCCCCAAAAACUUUUUUCUCUUCUUCUCCAAUUCCAACGCCUCCCCAUCUCCAUUUUUUCUUCUUUAUUUGUCUUUUGCUUCUUGCCCUUUCGGCAUCCAUCUCCUUUCUUUUUUUCUUUUUUUUUUGCUUGCUCUCGGCCCACCAUCACAGUUUCUUUCUCUUUUUGCAUUCCUCAUUUUUUUCUUUUCUUUAGCUUUUUCCAGGCAUCUUUCAUUCCCUUUUUUUUUCUUUCUUUUUCCUUUUCUUUUUUUUCUUCCUUCUCGGCUGGCCUUGGCUCCCGUGAUUUCCGGUGUGGCGUGACGACGGCGUUCGGCUGGUAGUGCAGUGAUCUCCUUGUGGUAAGCCAUCUUCUCCCCCCCAUUUUGCUUCUUCUUCGUUUCUUCCAGUGGCCCUUUUUUUUUUUUUAAUCCAUGCUCCUCCUCUUUUUCCUUUUAAAUCACCCUGACAGUUUUUUUUUUUUUUUUUUUGACUUCCUUUUUUUUUUUUUAUCUCCAGGCUCCCCCAUUUUUUUUAUAUCUCUAAUGGGUUUCAUUGUGUCUAUGACAGCCUCUGGACAGCUCCAUCUUUUGAGCAAUUUUUGGCGAUUUGUGACUUCUCUUAUCGAUUUAUAGUCUAAAACUUACUUGUUGGCGACUGAAAUUUGCUACUCUCGGUGAGAUCUAGGUAUAAAUUUUUCAUACCUAUUUUGACUUCUUUAUUUUGAAGAAUAAUGUUGUGGCUUUGUUUUUGGAUUUGUUUCUGGUUUUCAUGUAAAGUGUUGGCAUUUUUCUUUUUUGUUUAUGCUUUUAUUGGGUGGAUAUUGGUGUUUGGCUUGUGAUGGAUGAGGUCUGAAGUUGUGGGGGUAUAUUUUGAUGUGGAGGUUUUUUUUUUUUUUUUUGUAUCUUGUGUUUUAGGAGAACAAGAUGAGGAGAAAAACUGUUGGGAAAAAGGGUCGUAAUGUGGUCAGGGAGCAGGGGGAGACGAGUGAGGAGGCUCCCCUUUCUGAUUCAGCCCCUUAUAUAUCCCUUAGUGACGACGAUGGGUCCCCUUCGCCUAGUCCCAAGUUAUCUCGAACCAAAACCAGUAAAAAAUCAAAGAUUAAAGACAAACACCCAACUAAGCCAGCCCAUAGAAAAACUCGUGCAAAGACAUCCAGACCCAUAGCCACGGUCUCCGAGACCUUAGUGGCAUCUCGGCUGCACAGACCGAGGUAGAGAGGCUGCGAGGUGAGGUUAGGCUCGGCCAGUCUCGAGAAGAGAAGUUAGGAGAGGAGGUCAGGGCUUUGCAAAGGCGCUUGGACGACCACGCCUGGAGAAUAGUCGAUUGUCUAGGAAGUUGGAAGAGGCGGAGUCUAAGCAUGGCGAGCUACUAUCUCGCCAACCGGAGAUGAUGGACAAGGCCUUUACUCUUAUCAUGACUGAGGUCUGGAGCAUCGAGCCUGAGCUGGUGGUAUCCCGGGUGGAGAAAUGGGUGGAUAAGUCGGCCAUCCUUAAAGCGAUAGAGGACAAGAGGGCUACUGAGGCUCCCCCAUCUCACAGCCCACAGCGAUCUUCUGAGGUACCCCAGGUACCCAGGCGGAUCUCCCUUCGGUUAGCGCUGUUCAUGCGGGUAGCCGCUCUUUGGCUGCGAGUGUUCCUGUUGAUACCCCCGUUGAGGGGAACGGUGGAGAGGAUGUCCCCCCUCUGCUUGAUCUUACUUGUUAUUCAGAACUUUAUCUUGAGGUGUCUUAGCAGCUUUCUUUCUUUGCUUCUGUACCUUUUGUAGUAUGGUAUUAUCCUUUUGAUGUGUUGGGGAUACUUGUCUUUUGGAAGGUUGCCUCGGCAAUCUUGCCUACUCGUUCGCAUUAACUUCUGUAAUAUACUUUAUUUGGAGUGCCAUUGAAUUCCUUGCUUAUGAUUGAUUUGCGUAGCCUUGCAGGGGUUCCUCGGGUGCCCAGGUACCCCCCCUGAUGUAUUUUUUGGCGCUUGCGUGGUGAUUUCCGUAGAUGUGCUCACUGCUCGUCUUAAUAAAGAUUAUGGUGUAUCUCAAAAUAAUUUAAUAAUUCGCACAUCAUCAUAAGAUAAAACGAAAUUCAUAUUUGGCGCAACUAGGAUAAAAUAAAGAUUAUGGCGCAUCUCAAAUAGACUUGUGGAGUUUCUUGGGUACCCCAGGUACCUUUUUUUUUUUUUUUUUUCGGGGACCUUCUUGGCCCCCUCUCUUGCAGAAAUUGUCAAAAACAUGCUUGUUUUGCCAUUCGCUUCUAGUCAAUAUUUAAUAAAAUAAUGCGAAUAGAGGGGCAUGCUUGCCUACCUCGUUUCGUUUAUCUAUUCUUUACUUGGCUCAAGUAAAAGAAUGGAGGUGUGGGCGUGUGCAUACCUUAACGGAACCUCAUGGCGCUAGGGUAUGCUGGUUUACCUCGCCCUUGGGCCUUCUCUGACCCUCCUUCUUUAAUUUUGUUGUAUUAGUUUUUAUUGACGUUGACCUCGAAUAGAUCUUCACGAUCGAAUCGAAUCAGAUACCUCAGGUUCUCCUGAUUAUCUUGAAAUUGAGCAAUUAUAGCUGAAUAAGACAUGGCGUAAUAAGAGAGAGUCACAUUAAUGGCGAAAAUUUAACCAUAAUCACAUUCGGUAAUCAAAAGGAGAACAUUACAUAAGACUGACUCAUUGUCCUAAUGAGAAUAGGAAACCGUAUAGAUAUCCACUCUCUAGGACUUAGGGAAUUAAAAAUUUCACUUGCACAUGUGGGGUACCCUAAGUACCUUUCAUGGCUUUACCACAUUGCACACAUAGUAAAGAAAAUAAGAAAUAGAUAAAGUGAACGAUAAGGUUUAAGACACUGUCCUCAUGUUAGUAGUACUUCCUCAACAUUGCGGCAUUCCAGGGAUGCUUGACGAUUGUUUCAUCCAUGUGGAGUAGUUUGUAUGCCCCCGAACCUACUGGCUUGUCUAUGCGAUAUGGGCCUUCCCAAUUGGCUCCGAAAGAGCCCUCCGAGGGUACCUGGGUAUUCUGAGUUACCCUUCGUAGGACUAAAUCCCCUUUCUUGAAUGAUAUGGGGCGUACCCUCUUGUCGUAUAAAUCUGAAACGCGGUGCUGGUAUAUUGUAACCUUCAAUUCUGUUUUGGCCCUUUUUUCUUCAACAAAAUCAAGAUUGGACGCAAUCAAAGAGGCAUUCUUGGCUUCAUCGAAGUAUGCGGUUCUGUGAGAGGGUAUCCCGAUUUCAUCUGGAAUGAUUGCAUCAGUCCCGAAAGCCAGAGAAAAUGGGGUUUCCCCAGUUGAAAUAUUUUGAGUUGUCCGAUAGGCCCAAAGAACGCCGGGUAACUCGUCUACCUAAGCUCCCAGACUUUCCUCCAGCCUCUUCUUUAGGAUACCCUUGAUGAUUUUGUUGAUGGCUUCCACUUGUCCAUUAAAUUGCGGGUGAGCCGGAGAAGCAAAUUGGUUGGCUAUCCCAAGCUCCGAGCAGAAAUUCUGAAAUUUUUCGUUAUCGAAUUGCCUCCCGUUGUCGCUGACAAUUGCAUUAGGGAUACCAUAUCUGCAUAUGAGGUUCCUCCAAACAAAAUCAGUGGUUUUUCUCUCCGUAAUACUUGCCAACGGCUUCGCUUCUACCCAUUUUGUGAAAUAGUCAACGGCUACACAAUUGCAUACUUAGCUUGUCCUCUACCAGUUGGUAGUGGGCCAAUGAGAUCUAUACCCCAAACAGCAAAUGGCCACGGAGAAGACAUGACAGUUAACUUUUCUGGUAGAAGGUGGGGUACCCUGGCAAAUCUCUGGCACUUGUCACAACUCUUGACCAUGUUUUUGGCAUCCUCCCGCAUCGUAAGCCAAUAAAAUCCUUGACGAAGGGCCUUCUGUGCCAAUGAUUGUGCUCCAUAGUGGUUACCGCAAAUCCCUUCGUGUAUCUCUCUCAUGACAUAUUCGGCAUGUUCAUUUCCCAAGCACUUUAAGUAAGGGAGGGUAAACCCUCUUCUGAAUAAGGUAUCCUCAAUGAGACAAUAUCGAGCAGCUUUGGACUUUAGGUAGCGCCCGCAUUCUUCAAACCAAAAGGCAUAACCUUGUAGCAGUAUAACCACGGUUGGUGACGAAGGCCGUUUUAUCUUGAUCAGGCUCGUACAUUAGAAUUUGGUUGUACCCGGAGAAAGCAUCCAUGAAACUAAGCAUCUCGUGCCCAGCCGUAGCAUCGACCAGCUGGUCUACCCGGGGAAGCGGGAAGCUAUCCUUAGGGCAAGACUUGUUUAAAUCCGUGAAAUCUACACACAUGCGCCAUUUCCCGUUAGACUUCUUAACCAAUACAAUAUUUGAGACCCAAUCGGGGUACACCGCCUCCCUAAUAAACCCCGCUGCUAGCAGUCGGUCCACUUCUUGUUCGAUGGCGUCAUAGACUUCUUGUUAUAUCUUGGGCGGAUGCAUAACCAAACUCAUGAACAUAAUCUUUUAGGAGCUGGUCUAAGGAGGAUACACUACCUGCCUUCAACGAUCGGAACCAUGACUUGGCUGGUCCGGUGAGGGUAUGCGGGAACAUCCGGCACAUAGCAUUGUCGCCCAUCCUUUAAUCAUCAUCUGGUCACGAUAUAACUCAGCAUGUUCCACGGGAUCCGAGGUACCCGAGUAUUGUUGUAUUUGAGGCAUGGUGAAUGCGUCCGGGAGAACCGCUGUCCGAAUCUCCAUGAUGAAUGGCGAGUUAUGCACUGCUGGCGCUAGAGCAUUGCUGGGUUUUGUUUUUCAGAAAGGAGCUUCACUUGAGCUUCGAGGUACUCCAUUUUUUCCAGGAACUCGCGGGGUACCCCAGGUGCACCUGAGGAGGCCGCUGUUGUCUGGGAAGCUCUUUUGGCGUUCAACUUGUACCGGAGAUCUUCAUGGGUGCCCGAUGGCCCAUGCUUUGGUCUACUUCCCUCCGGUAUUUCAGAUCUUGUAUGAUCUGUUUCUCACCGCGUGGAGGUGAGACAUCUUGAGUUACCGGAGAAGUGGCUGCUUCGGGUACCCGAGAUCCUACUGCUCUGAGAAUCGCAUGAGCUAAAUCCUCGAAGUGUUUAUGAGUAACGGGCUCCUCAUCGGGUUGAAUACCAGCUGAUUGCUUAACUGAUUUGCCUUUCUCUAAGCGGCAUGCCCUCCUUGUCGAGUCACCCCUCUCAUCAUCGCCGUGGUCCUCUGUUCCAUCAUGACCUAGCAUUUGGUUAUCAGCGGUACGUCGGGUGCCAUGGCUGUGGAAGCACACGUACCGACAAGCUUAGCACCGUGUGGAAGCUUUUUGCUCGUGUCCCCACAGACGGCGCCAAUUGUUUGCGGCUGAUUUUGGGUCAAUGUAUAAAAACCACAAAACCAACCCAAGAGCAAUAAAUUUAUAUUUUUGUCGGGGAGUGGGGUACCUCGCUUGUUCGGCACGUGCGGCUGUUUAGGCUUUUUGUGGAGUGAAUGAGGAUUGAGAUGACGGUGGAUAUGGAGGGGGUCUGACUUUAGGUGUGAGGGCUGGUGAAACUCGCCUUAAACCUGCGAAACAACCAAAAAAGAGGUCAGAGGUGGAGCCGGGGGUGGCCGGCGACCACACUCCGACGCUCAAGUCAGAAUUGGGUUAUCUCAGGUUAGAGAGCUUGCAAGCUCUCGGUAAUGGAGAUUUUGAGGUUGAAGAAACCCUAGUUUUUUGUGGUGAGUGUGUUUACUUACUUGAUAAAAAUCAAACCUAAGUAUUUGUAUGGUGUACCCCGGUCGCCGUGCCACCUGGCGCUAUUAGUGGCGUUCCCUGCUGUCAUGUCAGGAAUAUUCUUAUUUUCAUGCGUAUGGCGGCUUAGACGUUUCAAAAAUAUCAGUGGAGAGCAAGUUUGUGGCGUAUUCACGUGCUGGGCGUAGUGGAGUGGUCCCGCGUACCUCUGCAAUUCCGUUGUAAUUUUGCAGGUGUAGCAGGAAAAGCUGGUGGUCCCAACUGUCACAAUAUUACACUUUUGGCGGAUUCGCUAGCGUGACAGGCGGCUGUCUCCUCUUUGCGGCACAAGAUUUCCUUAUUUUUCGACACGUAUCAAAUGGAUCUUUUUGAGAUUCGGGGCCACAUAUCCCUUCACAUAUUUACGAAGAUUUUUAUUUCCUUUCAUGGUGUACCCGAGGUACCCCCGGAGUCCUUAGGUUAGCGAAGGUACCUAGAGUACCCGAGAUACCCGAGGUACCCAAGGUACCCGAGACAAAUUAAUCUCUUACAUAUCGACACGUGGCGCUUCAUCAUUGGUCUCGUAUUUCCUUCCCAAACAGGUUAUUCUGGAAGCAAAUGCUAGCUUGAUUUUUCAGAAAAGGUGUUCCUAAUUCUUGCUUGGGGGGAUUGAAUUUUGGAUUGAAAUGUUUAUUUGCAAAAUAUUUUACAGGAUCCAGAAUUGUGAGCUUUGGACAUUUCUUGUGGAAUGUUUUGGUUAUUUUAAGUGUCUUUUGUUACCAUUAAAUUAACCCUAAGGAAAGAAAUGCUUAUAGUUGGGAAAAGUUUUGAUGGAUCGAUAUUUUUCAAUAUAGUUUUUACUUAGCUUAUUAUAUAUGAGUCAUGUUUAGAUGCAAGUCCGCAUUUUAAAUGACUGCAGAAGCUUGUUUUAAAUAUAGUCAUCUUUAGCUUGGUUCAAAUUUUUUUCUAUUUUUUUUUAGAAACGACUGCAGAAGCUUGUUUGUUGAAACUUGAAAAUAGGUAAAUGUCUUGAAUAAAGUUGAUGAUGGUAGUUUCAUGUAAACCUUUUUUUCCUUGUUGUGUCUAAUCUCUUCAUGUACAGGUUCUUGUGGUCAACUUGAAAAUGGCUAAAAUUGUGGAUAAGGGUAACGAGACUAACUUCAAGGAGAAUGAUGAUGUGAACCAACAAAAUGAAAUUUUAAGGAAAAAUCAGCCUUUCAUUGUAAGUCUUCUGAUAGUAAAUAUUAUGUGUUUGAUUGUUGGUAAGUAUUUGUUGGAAUUGUAAAAAAAAAAAGUUAGAAAAAUGACCUAAAACUUGUGAGUCGACAUUAGGUGUGAAAUAAAAUAAAAAUAUAUAUGCACCACACAUAGGACUAAUAAAUUGAAGGAAAAUGGGCAAAUUAAUGUUGAAGUAAUAAAUAGGAACAAGAAAUUGUAAACAAAACAAAAACUUAGAAAAAUAACAUAAAACUUAUAAAUUGACAUUAAGUUUGAAAUGAAACAAAAAGUUUGUAAACCGGGUAUAAGACUAGUAAAUUGAUGGAAAAAAAAGGUAAAUAAUUAAUAUUGGAGUUGUAAAUUGGAAUAAGAAAUUGUAAAUAAAAUAAGAGCUCAGAAAAUGACAUAAAACUUAAAAAUUGAUAUUAAGUGUGAAAUGAAACAAAAAAAAUUAUAAAUCACGCAUAGGACUAGUAAAUUGAAGCAAAAAGAGGACUAGUAAAUUGAAGCAAAAAGUGUAAAUUGUUGGAGUGGUAAAUUAGAACAAGAAAUAUAAAAAAAGACAAAAAAUUAAAAAAAAUAUAUAAAACUUGUAAAUUGAUAUUAAGUGUGAAAUUAAAUAAAAAAAUUAUAAAUCAUACAUAGGAUUAGUAAACUAAAUGAAAAAUAGGUAGAUUAAUGUUGGAGUAGUAAAUUAGUCUUUCGAUUUGUAAAAAAAAAACAAAAAACAAAACUUAGAAAAAUUAUAUAAAACUUGAAAAUUGACAUUAAGUGUGAAAUGAAAUAACAAAAUUUGUAAACUACAUAUAGGACUAGUAAAUUGAAGGAAAAAUGAGUAAAUUAAUGUUGGAGCAGUAAAUUGAAAAAAGAAAUUAUAAACAAAAUAAAAAUUUAGAAAAAUGACAUAAAACUUGUAAAUUAACAUUAAGUUUGAAAUGAAACAAGAAAUUUGUAAACGCACAUAAAACUAGUCAAUUGAAGCAAAAAGUGGUAAAAUAAUGUUGGAGUGGUAAAUUAGAAAAAUAAAUUAUAAAAAAGACAAAAAAUAAAAAAUAAUAUAAAACUUAUAAAAUGAUAUUAAGUAUGAAAUAAAUAAAAAAAAAUUAUAAACCACACAUAGGAGUAGUAAAUUAAAUGAAAAAUGAGUAGAUUGGUGUUGAAGUAGUAAAUUGGUCUUUGGAAUUGUAAAAAAAAAAACUUAGAAAAAUGACAUAAAACUUGACAAUUGACAUUAAGUGUGAAAUGAAAAAAAAAAUGGAAACUACGUAUAGGACUAAUAAAUUGAAAAAAAUGGGUAAAUUAAUGUUGGAGCAGUAAAUUGAAACAAGAAAUUAUAAACAAAAUAAAAACUUAGAAAAAUGACAUAAAACUUAUAAAUUGACAUUAAAUGUCAAAUAACACAUUAAAUUUGUGAAUCACACAUAAGACUAAUAAAUGUAACCUCUAACUUGAACAAAAAAGUAUAAUUACUGAUUACUUACCUAUUUAUUUAUAAUUAAUGGUAGAGAUUUUUCAUUCAAUCUAACGGUUUACGUCUAUUACGAUAUUGAAACCGUAAUUUUAAUUAUGGUAUUAUAGAAGGACCCGAAUAACAAAUUAAAAAAGCAACGGGUUGGCAAUACAAAAUCAAAAGAAGGACAAAAUAUGAAAAGCAAGGUACGUAAUUCCACUGAAUGGAAGCCCUAAACUGUCCCCCCAGAGGGUCUACCAACAAAUUAACUCUCUGGAGAACUAUCACUUCUAUCUUGGCAUAUAAAUUAUUUACUUAAGUGUGUUCAUCUUUAUUACAUGCUCUCUCACAUUGUAGUUCAAAUUUAUUUAGGAGAAAGUAGAAAUGGGAGCUCACCGCUGACUUAUAGGGCAUGGCUACCGUGCAGGUAUGUAUGUGAUGUAGAGGUAGAUGCUUACCGUUGGAUUCAGUAAUAAGAAACCUAACGGAUAAGAUUAAAUUUAUAAUUAAAUCAACUAAUUUGAGAAGACUAGAAAUUCAGUUAUCAUGUCACUUGUAUAAUUUGUGAGUAAUAGUGCGGAAAUUAAUAGCAGUAAAUAUGAAACUACCGCCAUUAAACAUAUAAUUUUUACCCAAAAUUUAUAUCGUAAAACCUUAAGCAAAAAAUUUUAAAUUUAAUAAUUAUACUUGAAGGGGGCAGCUACAUUGCGUCAUGGGUUUUGUUACCCCAGUCGUUUGUCUUGUAGCACAGUCACCGUUGGAUUUCAUCUCACGGCUGCAGAAGAGACACAGAGACAUUAGGGAAUAACCUGACAAAAAGGUAAUGGGCCGGUAAGCUGCAGGGAAUCAACUUUUUGACAAAAUAACGCAUGUAAUGGGUUGGAAGUUAUUUAAUAAGUAACGCAUGUAAGCAAACAGGGAACGGGUGCAUGCAAGUAAUGGUUGCAAACAGGGAACGGAAGCGUGCAAGUACGGGUUGGGGUUUCAUUUGAAAUUUUCGAAAAUAGUGAUGAAAAUAUUUGGAAGUGGAUUUAAGUCAUCAGGUAAUGCAUUGCGCACUUGGUGGGAAAAAAGGGAGAAAUAUCAAUUUUAAUCCCGAAACUAGCCUUGCUUGAAUUUACAGUUAAGUUGCCCUAUAAUUCUUUUUUUGUGGAAAAUAGGAGCGUGAGUUAAGUAAAUGAAAAUCAUAUAAAAAAAUGUGAAGAACAAUUAAAUACCAUGUAGUAGUAGUAGUAGUAAUAAUAAUAGGCAAACCCUAUCUUACAUGCAUGUAAGAUACAUCCCCCUCACAUGAAUAGUGCAUGUGUGGGACCCACACACUAUUCAUGUGAGAGGAAUGUAUCUUACAUGCAUGUAAGAUCUAAUAAUAAUAAUAAUAAUAAUAAUAAUAAUAAAAAUAAUAAAUUAUGAUCAACCAAGAAUGACAAUCUAAAUUGAGGUGAAGGAUAAGUUAAAAGAGGAAAAAAAUAAAGAGAAACUAUCUUGGGCUUGUUGAACCAAACACCCUAUCCUAUCUAUUUUCAUUAGCAGUCUAGGAGCGUGAGUUAAGUAAAUGAAAACCAUAUAAAAAAAUGUGAAGAACAAUUAAAUACCAUGUAGUAGUAGUAGUAGUAAUAAUAAUAAUAAUAAUAAAAUAAAUUAUGAUCAACCAAGAAUGACAAUCUAAAUUGAGGUGAAGGAUAAGUUAAAGAGGAAAAAAAUAAAGAGAAAACUAUCUUGGGCUUGUUGAACCAAACACCUAUCCUAUCUAUUUUCAUUAGCAGUCUGUCACGGGAUGAGUGUUUUGCGCAGCAAACCCGUGCGACACUUAGAUGACUUCUAGCACGCAAGUCGCUAAAUAAGCUUAGAACAUUUCUCAAACUAGCGAAGUAAGGAUGCUUGUGAAAAUGUUAGAGAGAAGUAAAAGCAAUAUGGCCGAAUGUAAUUUUAUGUUAACAACAGAAGAUAGGGUUAUGUUAGAAGCCGUAAAAGUAAGAUAUUUGAGAAAAUAAUUUUUUGAUAGGACAUUCUCCCAUAAUCUAUUAAUUUACAGUAUUGUUCAUUGUUGACAAGCUUAAAAUUAAAUAAUAGCAUAAAUAUUACACAAUUUAUUUGUUUUCACAUUAAAUGAAUAAUUGGGAUAAUAAUUUUGCAAAAAAAAAUGUUGACUCAUAUAUGACACUAGGUAUAAGUAAUUUGAAAUAAAUUCAAAUUUACAUAUAGAAAUUAUUUAUUUUGAAUGUACUAAACAUGGAUUGUAUAGCGACACGUAAAUUGCUAUCAAAGCAUUUAUUUAAUAUAUAUUCACUUUAAAUUGCCAAAACGUAUGUAAGACCUUGUCCAAUCCUGUAUUAAAGUAAACAAAGAUAAGAAUAUUGUAAUCCAAUUUCGUAUUUGAAGUAAAUGGGUGUGUAGAGUAUUUUAGCAAGUUAAAGUAAUCCAUCUAUAGUAUUAAUAUUUAAAUAUGUUCAUUUCAUAAAAUAGUGUUGACCCAUAAAAUAAUAGAUAGGGCUUAUGUGUUAAAAUUUUAAAACCUAACGUUUCCUUAUAAUUUCAUAAAAUAGGAAGGGCUACAACGUUAGUAGUGAUUAUCUUCGUGCGGCUAUAACACCUUUUAGAACUCCUGCGUUGAAUCUAAUGAUUGGAUAUGAAAAAAAAAAAAAGAGGUGCGUGAAAUCACGAUUGCGUGCAAGGCGGAUCCUUCAGGGGCAUAACAAACACUUCUGUAAUCAUAUUGUGAAAUAUUUUUUAAAGAUGUGUUAUUAUGACUUUUUUGUAGAUAUAAUUCAUUCUUAGGUGAAUAGAAAAAAAUUAGAUAUAGUUUUGCUUUCAUAUGUUAUUUCGCUAAAAGAAUGUAUCCAAGAAAUUUAAGUUUUGAUAAUGUUGCAAGCCUUUCCCUUGCCAUUGGAAAUGACUAUGAAGGUGUUGAACGUUCUACCUUUUAAGCCGCUAAAUCUAUUCUUGUUUUAGGUGUACCUGGUGUUGUUGGCACCCCAGUGAUUGAGGAAUAAACAAUAUUGUUAUUCCUUGUGUUUUCCUUGCUUCACUACUACAAAAUUAGUCUUUUAUGACGGUUUUAAAACCAUCAUCUUAGGCACCAACAUUAAAGAGGGUAUGUUUUUUAUGACGGUUCACUAAUCGUCAUUAAAUAUAUAUUUUUAAUGAUGGUAAUUUUCUAAAAUAGUCAUUAUUUAUAGUAAUUAUAUAUGUUUUGACGACUGUUUUUUUAUAUAACAGUUAUUAAAUGUGUCAUUUUAAUGACGGUUUAUUGUAAGAACCGUCAUUAUAUAUGUAUAUAUAUUAUAAGAACCGUUAUUAAAUAUUGAACAACAUUUUAUGACGGUUUCGAAAAAAAAGCCGUCAUCUUUGUUUCUAAACACUACAUUUGAUGACGGUUCUUUUCAAAUAACCGUCAUCUUUGUUAUUUAUUAUUAAAAAAUAAAUAUGGCAAAUUUAAGACUAUUUCAAGCCUCAUUUUAAUUCUAAUUUCAUAUUAAAUUCUUUACAAUUAUUUUUCCACAAACAAAAAAGAUGCAAAUGUUUCAUAUACAAAGAGAUAGCUCUACAAAAAUUCUCACAACUACUUAAUAUCUACUAAUGACUGCACUAGCAACCAACAAGAUUGGCAUGCGUGAGUACAUCUAAUUUCUCGUCAAGUCUUCAAUUGCAAACAAGUCUCACCAGUGUCAGCAAUCUAUGUCAUUCUUACAAAGAAUAAAGAGAAAUUAAGAUAUAUUCAUAUAUUAUAAAUCAUAAAUAUUAAAUCAUUUUAGUGACUUAAGUUGUAAAACAAGACUUUAAAGUACCAAAUUGCUAUUAAUUAAUAGACUUACCUAAGUAAGUUUAUCAACCAUGUGUUUAGAUAAUAAAUGACAAAAAUAUUUGCCAAAAUAGAGACAAUAAAAAAGCAUUAACUACAUCAUCCAUAAGACAUCCAGUACAUAUCCAUUAUACACUUGGAAAAAAAAAAUGAGACCUAAUGUUUAGAAUACUAUGAUUAACCAAAGAAUUAAUAGCAUGCUUGGAUAUUACCUUGCAAAAGUUGUACUUGCUUAUUACCCGGGGGGGGGGGGGAGGGGGGGAGAUUAAGUAUAGACAUAAGAGAAAAGAACUAAAGAAGGUCCAAAACAACAACUAAACAACACCCGAAAUUAUUCAGCUGCACUGUUAGUAGCAAAAUUUCAGCGAAAUAGAACCCAAAAUUUCUAAGUGCAAUUUUAAUUACAAAACAGCAGUAAAGCACCCCUUGGAUGCUUCCAGGUGCUUUGUUUCUGCAUAAACAACAGUAAAAACAGCACUUGGAAGUUUUCAGGUGCUGUUUUUGCAGCAUAACAGUAGCUAAACAGCACCUGAACACUUCUAGGUGCUGCGUUUCUGCGUGAACAGCAGUAAAAAUAGCACCUGGAAACUUUCAAGUGCUGCUUUUGCUGCAUAACAGCAGCUAAACAACACCUGGAUGCUUCCACGUGCUGUGUUUCUGCAUAAACAGCAGCUAAACAGUACCUGGAUGCUUCCAGGUGCUGUGUUUCUGCAUAAACAGCAAUAAAAACAGCCUCUUCUGUUGUUGCACAGCAGCAAAAUACUGCAACUUGAACUAAAAAGACAUAAGUGAGGAAGGGUUAAGCAACCAAAAGUAAAUCCAUCUACAUAAGUGCACAAACAAAAUGAACAAAUCACUUCCAAAAAUUUCAAUAAUUUUUUUAUAUUUUAAAUAGAGGAAGGGUUAAGUGUAUAAAGACAAUUUCUUUGCUUUACUUUCUUGAACUAGUGAAACCAACCCAUUGAUAAAAUUUCUGCUCUACUUUUUCAGCACCAUAGACAUACAUAAUUGUAUUAAUAUUAAUUCAGCAUAAAAAACAUAUAUAAUUGAAUUAAUCUUAUGGCAAUUUCAUCAAACAUCAUAUGUAAAUGAACACAUUAUUCCAAUUACAAACAUAAUCGAACUCUAAAUCCAUGAGAUAAAGUCCAAAACACAAAAUAUCUUAUCAAUCACACAAUUAUCAUGACAUAAACUUGGGGUCUUGAAAUAUGGCUAAAAAAAAGUUGUAAAAUAACAUUAGAAUUGUGUCUGGUAUCCUGCAUGGUUUCUAUUUAGAUUAAGCCUAUAAGAUACUAGAUAGUAAAUCUAAAAUGGGGACAAAAUGCUUUUACAUGUUGUUGCCUGUCUAGCAGAUAGCAAAUCCAAAUGCAUCACAUUGAAUAGCCCCGAUCCAAUAUAAAUUUUGUGAUGAUUCUAACAAAGAGCUUGACAAUUCUAUUAUGCUCUGCUCUCACUCUCGUUUCUUUAUUUUUUUUCCUUCUUUUAAAGCCACUCACAGCGUCGCAAAGGCGUGUCGGGCAGUGGUGUCAUGCGUCGUGAAGGUAGAUCGCAAAGACAAUGGAGCUGGUGGUGUCGCGGUGUCAUGCGACAGUGGCAGUGUGGAGGCAGAUCUCGUGGAGGCAGAUUGUGCGUUGCUGGAGUUAGUGUCGGAAGACAGUGGCGGUGUAGAGAUGCAGGGCGUUAAUCGGAUAGAAAAUCCCCAAUUUUCCCAAUAAAAACCCUAAUCUUCUUUUUCCCCGCUGACCCAAUAAGUGAAUCCCUUGUUUUGCGUAUCAACACCCAACUUAAUAAGAUUCAAUACCUCAAUACACCUUUCUGAAACCAGUAUGAAGACAAUAAUAUCCACAACAGUCGCCUGUACAAUUCACUUAUGGGGAGAAAGAUGAUACUUACCCUUUUUUUUUUUGUUUUACUGGUGCUACAACUUCAGCCGGUUACCCAUUUUCCACUUAUUAAAUCUCAGCCAUUAACUAUCUUUCUUUACAAUCUAAAGGGUCAAUCGCUAACAGACAAAUGAGUGGGGUACCAAACCCAUGAUGCAAUGUAGCUGGAUCCAUACUUGAAACCACCACCAUCCAAUAUGAAAUUAAUACUUACCUAAAAUCUUGAAGCAAAUUAUUUAUAUUGUGUAAAACUAAUAAUGAGAACAUGAUACAAUUAAUCGACAUAAAACCUUAUGAGAUGAGAUUAAUAGUUUACCAUGUGAAACUUGAAUGCCAACAUGAAAUGGAAGUAAAAAAGAAAAAGUUUUAGGAUAUUUGGAAUAUCCUACGUCAAACAUAAAAUUAUAAAUAUGAAACAUUUUACUUAAGAUAAAUAUGAAACAUAAAACAUGAAAAACAAAACGCUAGUCAUGAAAUUCGAAAAGUUUGACCUGAAACUUGAAUGGCAAAAUGAAAUGAGAGGGAAAAGAAAAUUUUGUGUGUAUUUAGAAUUUAUGAUAUAAAACAUUAAAUAAAAUACAUGAACCUUUUAGAUGUUAAACACGAGACAAAUUAUAAGACAUGAAUUGCACUUCUAUCUUUUUGCAGAUAUAAAUUUUAUUUUAUUUUUAAUAAUACUGACUAUAUAAAAUAUUGGUUUCAUUUUUUCUAUAAUCAUCCUUUUUUAUUUUUUAAAAAUUAUAUAAUUCAUAAAUAUUUUAUUUCAAUUAUAAUUUUAAAUUAAGUUGUCAAUAAAUGGAGCAACCGAUUACUCUUUAAGUUAAAACGGUUGGUUUAGCUGCUGGCAGCCAAACAACGAGGGGCGCUUAAUAUUGAGCCCCUCUACCAUGCAUGCCUUAAAGUCCCGGUAUGGUAUUGGUAACCACAAUUAAGGAGAAUAAAAGAAGCAGUAAUAGUACCAAUAAAGUGUUGGCUCCACUGGUAAUGGAGUCUCCUUAAGUGGCUUGACUGAGUUUGCUCCCCAGUUCGAGUAGUAGGGAAGUCGCCUUUGUUAGGAGAACCUGUGCCUCUCGGUUCGAGCGGAAACUUCUAGUCUAGGUUGUGGUACAGGCUUAAAGGUAUCUCCCACAAUUGGGGCCCUCCCCAAGAUAUCUCGUGGUAAAAAAAAAAAAAAAAAAAAAAGAAACUGUAAUAGUAAAGACAGCACUGCAACGAUAUCUCGUGGUAAAAAAAAAAAAACUGUAAUACAAAGACAGCACUGCAAGUUUGCAACAUCAGCAAGAGCAACGUAAUAAUGACCAAGCUAAGUGACAUCAGCAAGGGUCAAAAUUGCAUCAACAGGGAGAAAAGGUAUGGGCCACAAAAGCAGCGAUAUAAGGAAGGUUCACUAGUUCAUACUUUCUAUUAUGCAAUUAUUUUAUUUUAUUUUUAUUUUUUUUACAACUACUAAUUUCUCAAGAUUAUUUCCAUUGCACAAAUGUUUCAAGCGUUACAAUCAAGGACAACCGUGUGCUUAUGCUAAUUCAAAACCAUCACAUGCACUCUUUAAAAAUUUAAAAUAAAAUUAAGUAGUACUGAUAAUAUCUAGCUAUAUGUCUACCAUAUCAUAUCUUUAUGAAAGUAAAAAUGUAACAGAAAUAAGCAGAGCAAAGGAAACUGCCAGCAUAAUCAAACUCCAGAGCUUGGUUAUGUUUCACGCUAUUAUUCUUCUUAGGAUUUGCUUAGAGGUAGGACAAAUAAAUUUCUUUGCUUCUCAUAUAAUGGGAUGCAAUAAAAUUUUUAAUGAAAUUUUAAUUGGAUUGUUUUUAAUAUCUGUAUUCCUUUUCACAUUAUUUAUAUAUGUUAUUUUCUACGCGCUUAUCAUUAUUCAUUAGUCACCUUAUAAUUAGUGAUUUGCCGUGGUUCUCUUCCCCUCAAUAGGAUUAAGGGCGGCAGCAACAACUUAUGAUCAGAGGAUUAUAUGGUUAUCAAUCGCCGACGCCGAUUGGGUAUCAAUUGCCCACGUCGGGUCGUUAUCAUCGACCCAAAACCGCUUCACGAACAAGAACUUAGCCCGGCUCUCUUCAAGGACGUCGUUGUAGGGCUUCUUCUUUUUCACGCUUCAAGCAACUUCCAAAGCAAUGAUUGGCAGGAAAAGAGUAUUAGAGGAAAACAAAAUCCCAUUAGCCAGCAAGCGCAAACACUUUGCACAGGAACUUCUUAAUUCCGUAAACAAAUGCGGAAAUUAUGACCAUGAAAGAAAACUAUGCAAACCCAAACACUUUGCACAGGAACUUCUUAAUUCCGUGAACAAAUGCGGAAAUUAUGACCAUGAAAGAAAACUUUGCAAACCCAAACACUUUGCAGCGAGUUCUUAAGAAAUUCUAUAAUGCUUAGGAAUUUGAAAUUUUGACAUUUGUGGUUUUUUAUCCAGUCACUUUUUCAACCAUUCAUUCACUAUUCAACACAGGCCCUAUUUCUUUGUUCAAUAUAUCUUAAUGCAGAUCCCAGGUUGCAAACGUGUUAUGUUAGGUACUUUACCAAAAUGGUGCGUAAAUGACUCAUCCUAUGAGAAAUUAAUUAAGUAUUUAAGUUGCAAUCAAAUAGAUUAUCUCCAAACAACAUACUGGAGAAGCUCAUGAGCUACUAUUACUUUAUCAAUUCUCAUAAUGCUCUACUCCUUAAUUUGCACUACUCCAAGUAGUGCGGUAUUUUAAAAAUAACCAAUUAUCUAUCUUUAUCUUUCUUGUAUACAGUUCCCAAAAUUGCUUAGAAAGAUAUAUAUAUUUUGGUUUAUUUUAAUUCGAUCUCUACCAUAUCCAAAAGUAAUUUGAAGUAUCCUGGUACAACUUAUUUAUAGGAGAUCAAAGAUAUUCGACCAAAAUAGAUAGAUAUAUAAAUGUAAUCACUAUGGGCUUCAUUUCUAGCCUUUACAUUCAUUUUACCACAAUGUCAAAAUGGACUACUCGCAAUGAGCAUUUGGCUUUUGUUCCUUUGCCUUGUGGUUUUCCAAGUUGUUUUUCUAUAUUAAACGAAUUUCACACAUACACUUUAUCAUUACGAUGAGUGAGCCCAAUGUGCUCUCUCUAGCCAACUUAGCUAUAUGUCUAAGUCUAAUAUGCCAAAUUUUGGCAUGUACAUCAUCAUUGCAAGAUGAUGCAUAGUGAACAACUUUCCAUAAAAUCUCUUUUCAAAUUUGGUUAUACAAACACCUAAAAAUUAAGUAUCCUAAUCUAAGAAUGCCAACAAUACAGACCAAGGUUUUUGAUGAAUUUUCGAUGUACAUUCAUUCUUGAAAAAUAAGGACCAUGCAAUACCAACUUGCAGAUGCUUAUACCCUUGAUUUCUAGAACAAGGAUAUCCUCAUAUGUAUCCAUCUUUUCCUUUUGACAAUUACAACGGAAAAACAUCAAAACUUUUUUGUGAUCUCUACUCAUAAGGUAUGGCUACUUAGUAUAUUUCUCCAAAACGCUUAAGCACAAUGUCGUUUCAACUUAAUGAUUGUCGUGCUUAUCACGUGAGUUUAUUAAGCCUUUUAUCAACUGAGAAGUGGGUGUUUGUAUUCACCUUACAACCAACAAAUUACGUAUUAGAAAUAUUUUUUAAAAAAUGAGUGUGAAAAAUAUUUUAAUCAUUUGUUGGAUUCAAAUAUCUUCACUUUUUGGGAAAUUAUUGAAUUGUCUUGUCCUAAAUAUGUAUGCACGGAGAGCCUCUUUCCUAAGUUCAUGUGUACUUUUGCUCAACAAUAGGAAUAAACGAAGAGAGAAAGAUGGGCCACUUUGUCAUCUUCGUUAUCUACCUCCACUUUCUUUUUUCACUAACGUAUACAUCGAUUAUUUGGAAACCUUCAUUUGUGCACUUUCCUGACAUUCCUGCUACUUACGGUAAAAUUUCGGUUUUAGCUCCUCCAUAAUUUGUUUGUUUCUUUGGAUAAAUGCAAUAUAUAUUGUAGAAUUUUUUUUUAUUCUUUACUUUUCUUUUCCUUUAGAUGUUAAUAAAAAGGGCAUAUGUAGAGCUCUCCAUGUAGUGGAUCCUGCAAACGAUUGUUCCAUAUAGCAACCCUGUUGUUGCUUCUAAUGGAACAAUCGACUUUGUUUUAAUAAUUCGUGGAGUGUGUGAUUACGACACUAAAAUCAGGAAUGCUCAACCCGUAAGUUAUCAAGCUGCAAUUGUGUACAAUGAUGGAGUAAACGGCCAAAUGAAUUCACGUAUAUAAUAAAAAAAAUACUUCAAAAUUAUUUAAAAAUUUUAGAUUAUUAAUUUCUUUAUGUAAAUCCUAAUUUUUUUUUUGUGUAUAAUUAGUGUACAUAAAUCUAGAGGGCGUAAACAUACAAGCCGCGUAUGUUUUGUUCGAUGCCGGUCAAUAUCUAAAAGAACAUGCGCGGGGGGACGCUGGUGAAUGUUGUUUAUUUCCUCCAUCAAAAUCUUCUAUACAUUACUAUUGGCUACUAGUGGUGGUGCUGUCACCUAUAGUGUGAGUAGCAUCAUCCACUAUUUGUGCAUGUAUAGAAGGUCAUAUUCUUGGAACCAAUUCACCCAGUCCUGAGAUGAUGUCUAGUGAAUGCAUGGCCUAGCUUUGUGUUCACUUCUGAAACUUCGAACCAAUAUGUGGGGACUCGAUGUGUACCAUUUGCUCUUAAAGAUUAUCAGGAGGGGGAAAAUCUCAAAGUACUUCCCUGCACACACGGUAAAAAAUUUUACAUCGUCAUGCUCUCGAGUCUUUGAGAUUUUACCGUGUGUGCAGGGAAGUACUUUGAGAUUUUUCUCUCUCCUGAUAAUCUUCAAAAGCAAAUGGCACACAUCGAGCCUCCAAUAUAUUGAUUCGGAGAUUCAUAAGUGAACACAAAGCUAGGCCAUGCGUUCACUAGACUUCUUCUUUGUUGCUGUUGACUCUGCUCUUGCAUCAUCGCAGAACUGGAUGGAUUGGUUCCGAGAAUAUGACCCUCCAUACAUGCACAAAUAGUGGAUGAUGCUACCCACACUAAAGGUAGCAGCACCACCACUAGUAGCCAAUACUAAGGUAUAGAAGAUUCUGAUGGAGGAAAUAAACAAUAUUCCCCAGCUUCCCCUUGCGCAAGCUCUUUUAGAUAUUGACCGGCACCGAACAAAACAUACGCAGCUUGUCUGUUUACGCACUCUAGAUUUAUGUACGAUAAUUAUACAUAAAAAAAAUUAAGAUUUACACAAAGAAAUUAAUAAUUUAAAAUUUUUAAAUAAUUUUAAAGGAUUUUUAUAUUAUAUACGUGAAUUCAUUUGGCCAUUUACUCCAUCAUCGUACACAAUUGCAGCUUGAUAACUUACGGGUUGAGCAUUCCGGAUUUUAGUGUUGUAAUCACAUACGCCACGAAUUAUUAAAACAAAGUUGAUUAUUCCAUUAGAAGCAACAACCCUGGUUGUUAUAUGGAACAACCGUUUGCAGGAUUCGCUACAUGGAGAGCUUUACAUAUGUCCUUUUUAUUAACAUCUAAAGGAAAAGAAAAGUAAGGAACAAAAAAAAAUUCUACAAUAUAUAUUACAUUUUUCCAAAGAAACAAAUAAAUUAUGGAGGAGCUAAAACCAAAAUUUUACCGUAAGUAGCAGGAAUGUCGGGAAAGUGCACAGAUGAAGAUUUCUAAAUAACCGAUGCAUACGUUAGUGAAAAAAGAAAGUAGAGGUAGAUAACGAAGAUGACAAAGUGGCCCAUCUUGUUAACAUAUAUGUUUCCAUAAUAUUGAUUUUGAUGAUAACAAAUAAGAUUAAGAAUGAUUAAUCUUUUAAGCUCAAAUUAUUUAAUAUUCUUUUUAAAUAAAUCAUUAUUUUCACAUUAUAAAUGUUUUAUAUUUAAUGGAAAAAUUAUUUUAUGAAAUUGAUUGUUUUUAUUCUUUUUAAAUAAAUCAUUAUUUUCACAUUAUAAAUGUUUCAUAUUUAAUGGAAAAAUGAUUUUAUGAAAUUGGUUGUUUUUCAAAGUUUAUGGUUUAAUUGAAAGAAUUUUGAAAACUUUGAAAUAAACAUGUAUUGCUUGAAAUUUUGGUAAAGGACUUAUUUGAAAAGUGUCAUAGCAUUUUGGGCUAUACCAUAAUUUCAGAAAGUUUUGGGAUUAACAAAGCAUUACUUAGAAAUUCUGAAAUUGGACCUAUGUGCAAAGUUUUAUAACUUUUUGGGCCGUAAUAUAGUUUUAUAAAACUUUGGGGUCAAACUGUAAAUUUAGAAAAUAUUUUCACUGUAGCAAUCACUGUAGCAAACGGCUAACCGUUUAUUUAAAACGGCUAACCGAUAAUUUUCAGAAAGCAUGUUCUGCAAAGUAGUGUUAAAAUGAUGAUUCUGGAAACUAACGGUGAACCGUUUACUGAAAACGGUUAACCGAUUAUUUCCAGAUUGCUAACCUUGAACCGUUUAGUAAGAACGGUUAAACCAAAUUUGUUUUGCAGGUCUCUGGAAAUUAACGGCGAAAGGGUAAUCCUAAACGGCUAACCGUUUAUUUGAAAAUUGGUCCAACGGUAACUUUGACCGGCCUAAACGGUUAACCGUUAAUGGUUAACGGCGAACCGUUUUCGAGCAGACAGUCUAUAACGGCUAGUUUUUCAGCUCCAACUAUAAAUAAGCUCAAUCCAAUUCAAACAAGAAGGUUUUCCAACGAUCAUCAUUGAGCAAAAUAUUGAGAAUACAACUUUCAUUGAGCUUUAAAUCCUUGUAUUCAUCUCAUUCAUUCACACAUUGAGCUUUCAUUUGUGAUCAAACACAUUGUGUGAGAGAGAUUCAUUUGUAAUCUUUUUUGUAAAAUCAAGUUAAAAGAUUGUAAGUGUUGGGAUACACUUGGGUUAAGAGAUUGGGGAUAAUCUCUUGUUGUAAAGGUCCAUUGACACCUUGGAAGUCAAUUGUAAGCGUUUGAAGCCUUGGGAGGCUAGCUUAGUGAAAUCCUCAAGCCCGGUGAGCUUGGAGGCGUGGACGUAGGCGGGGAUUGCCGAACCACGUAAAAAUCAUUGUGUUUGUUUUCUCUUCCCUUACUCUUUUAAUAUUGUGCAUGAUUGAAUUUAUUGUUUUCAAUUUGAUUAAGGCAAUAGAUUAAAUUGUUGUGUGGUUUGCUUAGCUUAAUUUUUAAAAUCCCAAUUCACCCGCCUCUUGGGUUGCCUAGUUAGUAUUUCACAUCUUUCUCUCUUCGCUUAUUCUUAUUGUUGAGCAAAAGUACACAUGAACUUAGGAAACAUGCUCUCCGUGCAUACAUAAUUAAGACAAGACAAUUUAAUAAUUUCCCAAAAAAUGAAGAUAUUUGAAUCCAACAAAUGAUCAAAAUAUUUUUCACACUCAUUUUUAAAAAAUAUUUCUAGUACUUAAUUUAUUAAUUGUAAGAUGAAUACAAACACCUGCUCCAAACGGCAGCGUUUUUCUCAGUUGAUAAAAGGCUUAAUACUCACGACAUUUUGUGUAAGCGUUUUGGAGUAUCUUGGCUUUAAUAGAUCACGCGAGCAAUCACGUGAGCAUCAAUGAAGCCAUGUUCGUUAUAACAGAAUCCUUGCAUACGUGGCAUGAAGUUGUGCAUUUUGGGUUGUUAAAGUCGUUGAGAAACUGGUUUAUAAGCUGGUGGCUUUCACAGAAGCAACAACAACGUAAGAGAGAGAUUUGAGGGAAAUUGUAGAGAGAAAGUGAAUACUUGUUCUUUGUUCUCGAACUCUCUGUAACAAGCUUCUUGAAUCUUUCAAUAAAGCCUGCUGAUGAAUACACCCGUGGAUGUAAGCCAUUAAUGGCUGAACCACGUUAAGAGCUCUGUGUUCUAUUGUUUGUUCUCAGUUUUCUAAUUUGGCUAACAAUCCUUUGCAUUGAGUCAAGUCAGGUUUAGUUGAUUCUCUAAAAUCAGUCUAAUCUGUCGAAUGCAACUUGGUUGAUCUGGGUAAAGGGUCCUGGGAGGAUCUAGUUCUGAUGUGUUAAUUGAACGAAUCACAUUCUACAUAAUUUAAAUACCCGUAUCUUAUUUGAAGGGGAGAAAGUUAACCCAAGUAUUUCAACUGCAAAAGCCCAAGCAGUAACGGAAGCCUUUCAAAAGGUAAAGCAUGUGGAGAAAACUCAAGCUGAAAAGCCGAAAGACAAGAGGAAACAGCAAUGGACUCCCCCCCCCUCCCAACAAAACAAAAAUAGAAGCUUUAAAGUAAAUUGCUCACUCCCAUUCACAACAUUUUUCAUUAAUUUAAUAAAAGAAACAUAAAAUAAUCUAAAAAAUAAAGGUGCAUUUUGUAUUGUUUUAUUGUUUUUGAAUUUCGUUUAGAAAAUAAGAAGGAUUAAUUUUUAGUGAAAAUGAAAAUAUGUUUGGUAGUUUAUCUAGAAAAUAUAAGUAGUGAAAAUGUGUUUUGAUAUAAUUUUUAUAAAAAUUAUUUUAGAAUAGUUAAACUAUAUGUAUAACAUUUUAGAUUUAUCUUUUUGUUAUUUUAUAUAUUUUUGCAAAAAUUGAAUAAACAAGUAAAAUAAUGUCAGAAUUAAUAUUGAUAUCAAAUUAUGAGUAGUUUUAUUUUUUAUAUUAUUUCAAAGUUUUGUUAAAUAAAAUAUUCUACAAUAAUUUAUAGAAUAUCCAUGAUUAUUUCAACAAAAAUUAAUUAUUAUUUUAUUUAUUGCAUAAACAUAAUAAAAUCUACCAUGUAUUUAUCAUGGCAAGUCUCAUGUUUGUAUUUAAUAUUUUUGAGCCCACAAUUUUUUUUUCACAGAAAAAGAUUACAGAACUCACAAAAGUAUGGUCCCCAUACGGGCAUACAUGUAAUGUAUACAAGAUAGAAAACAAAAUUCAGAUAACGCUAAUAAUGUGUUUUCUACAUUUGUUAAGAAAAGUUAAAGAAUUGAAAUAUUCUAUUCUCGACAAUGUCUUAUUAUCGCUAUGAAACACUCCUACCAAACGCAUUUUCUAUUUAAUUAUUUUUAUAAAAUAAAAAAUAUUCAAUAAAAAAUGAUAGCAAACAUAUCCUAAAUUUCAAGGUCAUGGGACAUCCAAAUUAACAAAUUCAAAACGCCAUGGAGCAGUUGCAAAGUGUUGCUUUACUAGCAUGCUAGCAAGGUUAAUGAGUAAACAAAAUCACAAUAAGCUAAAGUCCUCUAUUCUUAUCGUCUAAUAAUCUCAAAAAGAGGGUAAGUGAUUGGAUGAAUGAGCCCUAACUUGUCAAUAAUAUAAAUAAAGCCCCUGAAACUCAAUACUUACAUAUUGCAUGGUAACCUUAUUCCCUAUUGAUAAGAAUGAAGUAAUAUUGAUAGAAUAUUCAACACAAUCAAUUAAUAAUUCAUUGUUUUCGUCUGAAUUAGUGAUUAAGAAAAGCUGAUUGUUAAUUAGCAUAAAGAUUGACUGACUCAAUCUUUAUUAAUCACUUAAUCUAUCAUUAUUCACUCAUAUCAGUUUUAUCAUUUUUUUUUCAUGUUUUAAAUGCUUAUAUAAAUUGAGUCUUUGUACUCGUCAAAUAACAAGAGUGAAAUUUAUAUUGUUUUUAAAAGGUUAUAUCCUUAAAGGAGAUGGGUGCUACAUUUAAAAUAACAUACUCAAUUUGAAAAUUAACUAUAUAAAUUUUCAAUCUUCAGGAGGAAAGUAAACAAAUAUUAAUUUUCAAUUUUCAGAAUAUGGGGCAUGAAAAAACUCAAUAGCACAGAACACUACUUCAGCCUAAGAAAUUAGGAAUUAAAAUAAUUUAAGAAGAUGCUUGUUUAAGACAAUUGCAGGUCCUAUAAAGUGGCUUAGAAACUCUCGCGCGCCAUGUGAAUAUCUGGCACAUGAAUAUGCGACCGAUCAAGCACAGAUAAUGACAUAAUGGAAACAAACUAAGGCUCCAUUACAGAAUGAGAAAAGGUCUAUGAUUUGUAGAAAGUUGGAUUAGCAAAGCGCUUGAUACCAUCAUUCAACUAAUUUUAUGGCCUGACCAUCAGUGAUACAAUGAAACAAAUACUUUCUAUAAAGUCAUAAGUUUCUGGAUAAAGCUAAAUGGUUUGAAAGGUUUGAAAUAUACUUGAAAGCAGGCAAACUGUCGACAAUUAUGCUUUUAGACUCAAAAUACAGAAAGAAAUUUGGUAAAGGAGAAACAAACGGUACAGAGAAUGAACAGUUGAAACACUCAAACACCAGUCAUCAGUAAGAUAGAGAUGGACGGGAAAAGGAGUACCUUAAUGAUACACAUGCGGCUGCCAAUUCCGGCUUGGGCACUUCAUAGGGUAUCGCCUGUUGUAGUUUGAUAGACCGCUUGUGGCAUACAAUAGUUUACCCAUCAGCUUCAUCAUUCUCUCCCCUUCUUAAGGGAUCAGUUCUGUAAGUCACUCUCAAUCCAGCAGCAGAGUAGGAACCUGAGGCCAUGUCUUCUCUCCUUGGAGGUGGCAGAUAUGGGUCCAAAGAUGAAGCACCAUAAUAGCUUGUAGGAAUCGAAGGCUGUAGCUACAGGGGAAAACUCUGAAUAGCUGUUCAUGUCUGGAACCCACAUAAUAAGUCUGAUAAUCUCUCUCAGCCAAGUACAGAGGAUCAGCAGGAGCAAGUCCCUUGGAUAGAGUGAUGGUGUCACCAUAUAUGGAAUAUGGGUAUCUUAGAAGGUGUUGUUGCCCUCUUUCAUGGCCUCUCUGGUACCUGUCUAAAGAAGCAUCAGUGUGAAUUAGCAGCCAGGCUCUUCCUCUCUCUCUAAAGACCAGAAGCACGAUACUCUUUUCCAGUAAUGUAUAUAUCAAGGGGAACUUCCUCUCUUAGUGCAGAUCCUUUAAAUAUACAAUACAUGAUUGCCCUUUCAGGAGAAAUUCGAUUACAUCUCCUAGAACUAGCAUUAGAAUAUGGAUCUCUAGCAAAUAUUUCCCGGUUUGACUCUCUUACAAGUGCAUAAACUUCCCUAUUUUAAGCUCUUGGCAGGGAAGCAGUGAGAAUAGGUAAUGCAGUUGCAUGGGCUGCAACAGGUCGGAAAAGUUCUGAGAGCUUCCUAACCUGAAAAGAAAAGUUUAAAAUAUCAUAAAUUCAUGGAAGAAGCUUGAAAUAUUAUGAAUUCAAGGAUAUAAGAUGAAAUGGUCACCAAACCACUGAAGGAAAUACAAAAUUUCUACCUGUCUGGGAGUAAGCUCAAUUUUGAACUUGUGUUUUUCAUCAUAAUUUUUCUUAAUAGCCUUAUUGAAUACGCUUUCAGGGAGAAGAAGACAAUCCCCGUGGACAUUAAACGGAUCAAAAGUUGUCAGCACAAAGAUGUGGCUAAAUUUAUUAAAGAAGUGAUAAACAACUAUAGAACUUAACCUGAGCAAUAAAGGCCAUGGCACAAGCUUUCGGCUCAAAAGAGGAUGCCUUGUAAAUCCCAUACAUAAGCUUGAGAUCAAAAUCAUAGAGAAAAGUAUAUCAAAAAAAUAUACAAAAAAAUCAUUACGAAAAGGCUUAAGCCCAGGUUUGAUAGCCAGCAGAAGAUAUUUCAUUUGAGCAUACGAAUAUAUUUGUCACUUUAUUAACAAAGUAAGUAAGUGACAAUGAGUGUAGUUGAAGCAUGGAAAUUGUGUCAAAAACAAAAAGAAAUAUGAACCACGACCACCUUUUCUAUGAAAAAUCUUCUGGGUUCCCCAUCUCCAAAUCAACACAAAACCAGAUCUCAAAAUUUUCAAGAACAGCAACGUGAAUUUUCAGUCAAUAAGCCAAGAUGAGAAAUUUAUGACUCUUCUUCAACUCUCUCUUAAUUAAAAGAGACCACUCUACUGUAUAGAGAGAGAGAGACAGAGAAAAAGAAUGUUAUAUGUAGUUUUCUUUGCUUUUGUAAUAAUUUUGCAGUUAUUACUGCAAGGAGAAGAUAACCACCGAAGGAGUUUCCACGAAAAAACUAGACAUUAAUCACAUUUUGUUUGGUUAGUGCCCGAAAUUCUGAACCCAGAAAGUAAAAUAUUAAAAUUAUAUAACAAUAAUUUUAUUAUUAUUAUAUUCUUAUUCAUUAAUAGAAUAUUGUAACUUUAAAUCUAGCUGCAGCAAUACCGUAAUGGAAUCAAAGAGAGCAGAAAAUUUCUUGUAAAAUUAAUUAAUCAAUAAUUUGAGCUUCUUUAGUUCUUUUCCUCAAAACGCAGCAUUUAAUUUGUUGGUUGUCCUACCAUUCAAUUCAAUAAUUCAAUGGACCACGUCGCACGCUGCAAUUUGCUUUAUAAAGCAAGAGAUGAAUUUGAUGAUCAACUCUCACAGCUGGCUAUUAGCCUAGAAAUAUGCUCUGCUAUUUUUCUUUAUUUUUUGGUGGCUUCUGCAGGCUGUCUCCAACUCAAAAACUUUCAUUACUUAUGCAAAAGGAGAAAAAAAAAAAAAAAAGCCAUAUUAAUUUGUUUCCGAUUUUCAUGAUAUGGUCUUAAUAUAGAAAAUCUGAGAUUAUUUGCCCAUGACAAUUUGCCCCAUUCACAAUUUUUUUUAUUAAAUUAAUAAAAGAAACACAAAAUAAUCUCAAAAAUAAAGGUGUGUUUGGUAUCGUUUCGUUGUUUUUGAAUUUUGUUUAGAAAAUAAGAAGGAUUAGUUUUUUGGUAAAAAUGAAAAUGUAUUUGGAAGUUUAUCUGAAAAAUAUAAAUAGUGAAAAUGUGUUUUAAUAUAAUUUUUAUAAAAAAAUAUUUUAGAAUAGUUAAAUUAUAUUUAUAAAUUUUAGAUUUAUCUUUUCAUUAUUUUAUAUAUUUUUGCAAAAAUUGAAUAAACAAAUAAAAUAAUGUAAUAAUAAUUAUUGGUAUCAAAUUAUGACUAGUUUUAUUUUUUAUAUUAUUUCAAAUGUUUUAUUAAAUAAAAUAUUAUAUACUAAUUUAUAUAAUAUCCAUGAUUAUUUCAACAAAAAUUAAUUAUUAUUUUAUUUAUGCAUAAACAUAACAAAAUCUACCGUGUAUUUAUCAUGUAAGUUCCAUGUUUGUAUUUAAUACUUUUGGGCCCACAAUUUUUUUUCACAGAAAAAGAUUACAAAAGUCACAAAAGUAUGGUCCCCAUACAUUUAAUGUAUACAAGAUAUAAAACAAAAUUCAGAUAACGCUAAUAAUGUGUUUUCUACAUUUGUUAAGAAAAGUUAAAGAAUGAAAAUAUUUCAUUCUCGACAAUUUCUUAUUAUCACUAUGAAACACUCCUACCAAACGCUUUUUUUUUAAUUAUUUUUAUAAAAUAAAAAAUGUUAAAUAAAAAAUGGUACCAAACACAUCUUAAAUUUCAAGGUCAUGAGACAUCCAAAUUAACAAAUUCAAAAUGCCAUGGAACAGUUGCAAAGUGUUGCUUUACUAGCAUGCUAGCAAGGCUAAUGAGUAAACAAAAUCACAAUAAGCAAAAGUGAUUCAAUUGAAUUCUCUAUUCUUAUCCUCCAAUGAUCUCAAAAAGAGAGUAAGUGAUAGGAUGAAUGAAUCUUAACUUAUCAAUUAUAUAAAAUAAAGCCCUUGAAGCUCAAUACUUACAUAUUGCAUAGUAACCUUAUUCCCUAUUGAUAAGAAUGAAGUAAUAUUGAUAGAAUAUUCAAAACAAUCAAUUAAUAUUGAUUUUUUCUGUCUCAAUUAGUGAUUAAGAAAAGUUGAUUGUUAAUUAGCAUAAAGAUUGACCGACUCAAUCUUUGUUAAUCUAUCAUUAUUCGCUCAUAUCAAUUGUAUUAUUUUCUUUUUCAUGUUUUAAAUGCUUAUAUAAAUGGAGUCUUUGUGUUCAUGAAUUAACAAGAGUGAAGUUUAUAUUGUUUUUAAAAAGUUCUCACCUAUAGUAAUAUGGUGGGUUCUGUGUACAAGAGAAAGGAAUUAUACUUGUAGCACUGUUUAGCCCAUUAGAAGGUGCAGUGGUAGAAAUCCUCAAAAUCUUUUUUUUUUUUAAAAACAUUUGAUAUUACAAUUUCUAUAACUUUUUCCAAUUGCCAAGUUACUAAUUGCAUCAUAGUGCAAGGAGGGAUAUCUGUGUGCUUGUUAUUGCCCUAUUUGUGGGGAAAAAUUGAAAGAAAAGAUAAAAUAAAUUAUAAGAGUCGACAAUCGAACAACCACUGCCUCAGGGUGAGGCCCAGCAGCAGAAACUGUAGCUGAAUAUGUAGGGGAGAAAUAGGCAAUGGAAUGCCGCAUUAUUAUAUUGGUUUACCUAAACAAAGAAACGAUACUCAAACGUCAAAGUGGCUGCAGCACCGUAAUGGAAUCAAUGAGAGAAUAAGUAACAGGGUCGUUUAGGCUUAGCUUCUUUUUUUUGAAAAUUUCUUUUAUUUUUCCCUUCUUUGUUAAAAAUUCUUUUAUUUUUCCUUCUACCAAUCAAUUAGGCUAGGUUUCCUUUUCUUGCAAACUAAUUAAAUAAUUCGAUGUAACAAUUAGUACCAAGUUUAAUUGGUGAUGGGCAUAAUAUAUUAACAUAUUUCCUCUCUAUUUUUAUAUUAGUUAGUCUCUUUUAUUUAUAUUUUUAGAUGGUUAAUUUAUUUUAUUGAAGAUUAUGGAAUAAAUUGUGCUUAAAGAAAUCAAAUUGGAGAAAAGCCAAAUAUUAUUUUGAUUUAUUAUUAAUGGGCUCAUGGCUAAAUGAAAUUAAAUUUAUUGGACUUAAUUGUUAUAUUUAUAAGUAGACAUAAAUUGAUUUCGAUUUGUCUUUUUAAAAUUAGGAAUUGAUUAAUAAUUAAAUAAUUGUUAAGUUGAAUUGUGUGGUAGAUUCUUAAAUACUGGUAGCCUUAAUCUCUUGAAUUCUUAAUUUGCUUGCAUAUUUACUUGUAUCUUUAGUUCUAAUUUUCUUAAACAAAAUAUUUUCUUUCUAUGUAAAGGUAUAAUUAACUUAUAUUAAAUUUUACUUUCCUAAAAAUUAACAGUUCUUAUAGGUAUGACUUCAUUAUUCUUAAUAUAUACUUCACUUGACUUAUGCAUUUACAAAUACAUUAAAAUUUGCACAAAAUUUGACUAUGUGCAUUUCUCAGGUGACAAGAAUACACACACACACACAUUUAUAAACUGCCUGCAAACCCAUGUACCUUAAAAUGAACAUUUACAUUUCUUAAAAUGAACAUUUACAAACUGUUUAUGAAACUAAGAAAUUUGCACCCAUACAUUGUCUAAAUUUAAUGUUUUUGGCAACAUACCUUCUGCUCCAACUCAAUUUACUUGCAAUCUGAUAUCCCAAAAAAAAAAUUCAUAAGUUUCCGUUAUAUAAAUAAUUACAUUACAUGGCAAAUAUUUGAAAAAUGAAAAUCAAAAGAUUAAACAGAGAAAAUAAGAAAAUUUCAGUAUCUGAUGUAAAUUAACAUAUAAACACCAAAAAAGCAAAUAAAAAAGAGAUUUAAGUUUCAGAAACUCGUAAUAAAAUAUAAAAUGGAGGAAUCAUGUACCUGAGGCUAGAGGAUAAACGAAUGAUGGUUUUUGAGGAUAUGUAGAGAUUGUUUUCUAAAUAGGACAGAAUCUUAAUUCUUAUGGCUUCAAGAGGAGGUAUGUUCUUAAAAAUAAAUACUCACAUGUCAUAAUAUCAUUUAUUUAUUAUAUAGUUGACAUAUGAUCUUAGAGUUACUUUAAAAUUCCUUAAGGAGAUAGAUACAACAUGAAUCUUUCUCCUAUAAGAUAGGGAUUAUCCCCCUCGAAGAUUAUCAUUGACUAUAGGAGACAAAUCCCUUGAUUUUAGCCUUUUAGUGUGACUGUGAUUAUUUAAUUAUCUCCACAUGCCACAUUAGUUUGAAAUUAUCUACAUAUGCUUAACCCAUAUAAUUAUUAAAAUAUCCUCAGUUAAAUUAGGUUGAUACAUGAAUUGUAUGACUCAUUGUUGUGUAACGAGUAGUAAAUUCUAUGUAUCGUGUAUUUUGUUGCACUACUCAUGCCAAAACAAUUUUGUGAGAGUAGUGAUAUUUGAUCCCAUGUAUUUAUUUCAUGUCCUUAGUUUUCAAUUACUCAUUUAUUUCCGAAUUUACCAUUAUUAAAAAAUAAAAAUAACAAAAAGUUCUUUUAUUCUAUGAUUUAUCUCUCUCUCAGUCUCUUGAAUUAUCAAUUUCUGAAAAUUGAGCGAAAAUUGAAUUGAAGUUGAAAUUUUUUAUCAGAGGAAGGGAAUUAAUAUUAAAACAUUUUUAACAAGAAAAGGACCAUUAUAAAUAACUAGUUAGCGUGUUCAUAUGCAUGCGUGUAUGAAAUAAAAACUCACAAUUAGAAAAUUAAAAACUUAUAGGAGGUCAAGAAAAUCUAUACUUCUAAUACUAAAGGUAUUAACAAUAAGUUCUUGCUUGAAACAUGUCCCAAAUUUAAUGGCAUUCUUGAUAUUAAACUAGAACCAUCAAAGAUAAAAGUUUAGAAGCUAUAUAUUUACUCAACCCACCAACUUAAUCAGGGGUGGCUUUAAGCAUAGGCGAACAAAGCGAUUACCUAAGGCCCUAUAUUUUUUGAAUGCCUCAUUUUUUUUUAGUAUUUCUUAAUAGUUAUUUAAUUAAUAAUCAUCUUUUUAAAAAAAAUUAUGUAUUGUAGAAAAGCCUAUUAGACAUCUUUAUAAUUAACAGUUAAAUCACAACUAAGAAUUAUUAUUUUUAACAGAAAAUCAGUAUUUGGUAACCUUAAUGUUCAAGAGAUAUAAUUAAUAAAAUUGUUUAGCCAUUAAUUCAUUCAUUAUUAGUUUUUCAAAAAAAAAAUAAAUUUUUUACCUUUUAAGUUUCCUAAAAAAUUAAAUUCUUUGACUUUUAAUAUUCCUUUUAAUUUCCAUUAAAACCUUGUAAUAUAAAAAAUCAAUAAAUAAAUAGAUUUCUUGCUCUCUUUUUUUUACGAAGAGAAUUAUUACAUUCAUUGAUUCAUUUAAAAAAGAAAAAAUUAGUUUCUUAAAAUACAAUGUGCAUAUCUAUUAUUUGAUAAUCAAUUCAUCAUCUCAACUUUCUACUAUUCUAAAUAUUCUAUUUGAAAAUAAUAUUGUUUUUAUGUAUUUGUUUUUUUAUUUUUGUAAUAAUUUUAAUGGAAGUAAAAAAGAUAUCUUCUUGGUUUUUUUUUAGGUUUGGUUUUUGAAAAUUUUUAAGAUAUUUUUUAUUACUAUUAAAAUUCAAGAGUUAAAAGUCGAAUGAAUUUUUUAGUCUUAUAUUUCUUUAAGUAUUAAAAUUGUAAAAUAAAAAAAGGCCCCACAAAAAAUUUUUGCCUAAAGCCCCAUAUACUCUAAAGCCAACCCUGAACUCAAUCAUAGAUCACGAGCCAUACCCUUAUUUUCUGUUUUCAUGUUGUAAAAUCUGUACUUCUAAUAAUUUUUAACAGCGCAUGUAUUAAGCGCGUUGCCAAAAAGUGGAUUUCACAACAAUCAUCUUGUGAAGGUGGCUAUAUUCUUGUUGUUAUAUCCUAUUUUUCUUUGUACUGGGGAUGAUGAACAAACCAAAUAUAAAUCAGACACGAGCAAAUAAAUUAAGUAUAAGGGACCACAAUUCUAAAACUGGAAGUGAAUUGUCGUCUCAAAUUUAAUUGCAAUGACAAAGAAUUAGGUGAAGUUGCAGAAAAAUUUUAGAAAAGUGGUAAAGAUGACAACAAAGAUUGUGAUGCUUUUAGAGUUUGCUAGCUCAAUUCUUGCUUCAUGCCAAGCCUACUUUGACCAAUACUUUAGCACAAAUGUUACAGGUUCGAUUUUCAUUCCGAACUGUAGCCUGCACAGCAUAGCUCUGACAGAGCACAUUACGUAUAUUGUGAGUUGUCACUGUUUUUAAUUUACUAUUGUGAAGUCAACUAACUGGUAGGGCCUCAUUAUAACUAAUGCUGUAAAUGGUUAUGUUUGCGGCUGAUUUUGGGUCAAUGAAUAAAAAACCACAAAACCAACCCAAGAGCAAUAAAUUUAUAUUUUUGUCGGAGAGCGGGGUACCUCGCUUGUUCGGCACGUGCGGGCUGUUUAGGCUUUUUGUGGAGUGAAUGAGGAUUGAGAUGACGGUGGAUAUGGAGGGGGUCUGACUUCAGGUGUGGAGGGCUGGUGAAACUCGCCUUAAACCUGCGAAACAACCAAAAAAGAGGUCAGAGGUGGAGCCGGGGGUGGCCGGCGACCACACUCCGACGCUCAAGUCAGAAUUGGGUUAUCUCAGGUUAGAGAGCUUGCAAGCUCUCGGUAAUGGAGAUUUUGAGGUUGAAGAAACCCUAGUUUUUUUGUGGUGAGUGUGUUUACUUACUUGAUAAAAAUCAAACCUGAGUAUUUAUAUGGUGUACCCCGGUCGUCGUGCCACCUGGCGCUAUUUUAGUGGCGUUCUUUGCUGUCAUGUCAGGAAUAUUCUUAUUUUCAUGCGUAUGGCGGCUUAGACGUUUCAAAAAUAUCAGUGGAGAGCAAGUUUGUGGCGUAUUCACGUGCUGGGCGUAGUGGAGUGGUCCCGCUUACCUCUGCAAUUCCGUUGUAAUUUUGCAGGUGUAGCAGGAAAAGUUGGUGGUCCCAACUGUCAUAAUAUCACACUUUUGGCGGAUUCGCUAGCGUGACAGGCGGCUGUCUCCUCUUUUGCGGCACAAGGUUUCCUUAUUUUUCGACACGUAUCAAAUGGAUCUUUUUGAGAUUCGGGGCCCACAUAUCCCUUCACAUAUUUACGAAGAUUUUUAUAUCAUUUCAUGGUGUACCCGAGGUACCCCCGGAGUCCUUAGGGUAGCCGAGGUACCUAGAGUACUCGAGAUACCCGAGGUACCCAAGGUACUCGAGAUACCCGAGGUACCCAAGGUACUCGAGACAAAUUAAUCUCUUACAUAUCGACACGUGGCGCUUCAUCAUUGGUCUCGUAUUUCCUUCCCAAACAACAUCCCCCUAGUUUCUUUGUGGCGAAUGUAAUUGAGGCACAAGAAACUCUUGGAGGAACUGUGCGUGACACGUGGCGAUAUUUAUACACUGAACUAAUGCAUGUCUUCCUGGAGGAACAUCCCCCUGGUUUUUUUUUUUUUUUAAAUACCAAUCUCACGCAAACAUCCUUGAUCUUCUUUUCGUGCAGUGUGCUCUGUCAGGUUUAAUUAAAAACUCCUUAUGUGAAUGCCAAUCUCUUGUCGUUUAUUUUGAAAAUCCCAACAUAAUCUCCCAUCAAAUUUAAUUACUUCCAGUGGCUUCUUGCUUGCUCUGGCUUUUAAAAUUCAAAAACCAGUCAAAUCAUUUCAAUCACCAGCUUCACAAUUUUUUUUGUUUUUAUAAAUCACCUUCUGCACGUUUUCAUUCCCCCUUUAUUCUCUUUCAUUUUGCCAUCCCCAAAAACUUUUUUCUCUUCUUCUCCAAUUUCCAACGCCUCCCCAUCUCCAUUUUUUCUUCUUUAUUUGUCUUUUGCUUCUUGCCCUUUCGACAUCCAUCUCCUUUUUUUUUUUUUUUUUUGUUGCUUGCUCUCGGCCCACCAUCACAGUUUCUGUCUCUUUUUGCAUUCCUCAUUUUUCUCUUUUCUUUAGCUUUUUCCAGGCAUCUUUCAUUCCCCUUUUUUUUUCUUUCUUUUUCCUUUUCUUUUUUUUUUCUUCCUUCUCGGCCGGCCUUGGCUCCCGUGAUUUCCGGUGGUGGCAUGACGACGGCGUUCGGCUGGUAGUGCAGUGAUCUCCUUGUGGUAAGCCAUCUUCUCCCCCCCAUUUUGCUUCUUCUUCGUUUCUUCCAGUGGCCCUUUUUUUUUUUUAAUCCAUGCUCCUCCUCUUUUUCCUUUUAAAUCACCCUGACUGUUUCUUUUUUUUUUUUUUUUGACUUCCUCUUUUUUUUUUUUAUCUCCAGGCUCCCCCUAUUUUUUUUAUAUCUCUAAUGGGUUUCAUUGUGUCUAUGACAGCCUCUGGACAGCUCCAUCUUUUGAGCAAUUUUUGGCGAUUUGUGACUUCUCUUAGCGAUUUAUAGUCUAAAACUUACUUGUUGGCGACUGAAAUUUGCUACUCUCGGUGAGAUCUAGGUAUAAAAUUUUUCAUACCUAUUUUUGACUUCUUUAUUUUGAAGAAUAAUGUUGUGGCUUUGUUUUUGGAUUUGUUUCUGGUUUUCAUGUAAAGUGUUGGCAUUUUUCUUUUUUGUUUAUGCUUUUAUUGGUGGAUAUUGGUGUUUGGCUUGUGAUGGAUGAGGUCUGAAGUUGUGGGGUAUAUUUUGAUGUGGAGGUUUUUUUUUUUUUUUUGUAUCUUGUGUUUUUAGGAGAACAAGAUGAGGAGAAAAACUGUUGGGAAAAAGGGUCGUAAUGUGGUCAGGGAGCAGGGGGAGACGAGUGAGGAGGCUCCCCUUUCUGAUUCAGCCCCUUAUAUAUCCUUAGUGACGACAAUGGGUCCCCUUCGCCUAGUCCCAAGUUAUCUCGAACCAAAACCAGUAAAAAAUCAAAGAUUAAAGACAAACACCCAACUAAGCCAGCCCAUAGAAAAACUCGUGCAAAGACAUCCAGACCCAAAUCUCCUGUUCCUGUCAGCAUUCCAGAACCUCCCCUGAUCUCUCCCUCUGUCUCUGUAGCUCCUAAGCUCUAUGCACUAAGGGUAGGCUGGCUACUCCGAGAGAUUUAGAAAGGGUUAGAGCCAAGUACAACAUACCUCAAUCUGUCCACCUUAGGGUACCUCGCAAGGGCGAGCGCCCCGACCACCCUCAUUCUGAUGGUGUUGCCCUUCAUAUCGACAUUUUUGACUUAAGUCUCUGUUUACCCCUUCAGCCAUUUUUUAGAAAAAUGUUCACUGAGAUGAAAAUUGCUCCCGGACAGUUAUCCUUACCCGGUUGGAGAUUGCUCACGGGUCUGGAGGUUUUGUGGCUAGAUAUUUUUGGGGAGGAUAUUUCUUAUGGAGAUCUAAGGAGGCUUUAUCAGUUGAAGAAGCCCGCUGGUUUAUCUGUAGCCUAUUUUGCUACUUGGGGGGUUCAUGGUAAUUUGGUGAGACCGGAUCCCUUGCUGAAAAAGGGCUACAUAUAUGGGUGGUUUGUGGCUGAGGGUGAGUGGGGGAAGAGCAUUCCAGCGGGAAAUAAAGUUGUGCCAGUUCGGAACUUCUUCAAUGAAGAUAGUAUGUGUUUCUUUCCUCUUCUCUCCCUUUCUAUGUAUAUAUACACCUCUUCGCAUGAAUUUUCUUCUUAUUCAUUAUUUUUUUUGGGUUUUUUAUAGACAUCCAGUUGGACCAAGGGAACGUGCCCAAUCCAUGAAGUAGGGAGGAAAGUUAAUAGUGUUAUAGAGAAGUUCCAGAUUUUACAGAGUGAGGGUGAUGUUCUGUGCACUUCCGGUUGGUGAGAGCUGGUCUGAUUAAGGAGAGUUUUCAGUCUUCUUCGGGGGGCGAUUCACGUAUGGCUAUGUGGUGUUGCUGGGGUACCCCGCCUUCAUUGGUUCUGUGGGGUGCCCCCUUUAUUUGAACAAACUUUUUUUUUUAUGCUUUGGUGGCCAUCUCUUAUUUUUUCUCAAUGUGCCUUUUUGCCAAUGACGACUCUGUUUAUUUUCCUGAUUUGUCUCUUUGUCUCAUCUCUUUUUUUUAUUGGAUAGGCAUGGACCCUUUUGGCGAAGAUUUUGACGCCUUCUUCAGUCGCAUGAGCCGGCAGCUCCUCCGUACCCUGGGUACCUCCGCAAAAGGUGACCGACCUCCCGUCGUUCCAGGCGGCAAAGGUAAAUUGCCCGUCUCCUCUCUUGGGGUUCUCGGGUACCCUGGCUACCCACAAGAGGAAGUUUGGCUCCCUUUUCACGGCUCCUGGAGACCUUAUGAGGGCGAGCUGGAUCCGGUGGCUAACAAGCGGAUAUCGCACUUGACUGAUUGCUUCCUUCAUUCCUCCGAGAGUAUUUCCACAGACAUGCAAUAGAGGCAGAUAAUUAGAUUUAAAUGAGCGCUAUAGCCGAGCGCUCAAAGCUUGUCAUGACGUGAGUGCCUCUCACUCUUUUCCUUUCAUUCUUUCUCUUUCUCUUUUUUUUUUUUCGUCCUAACUCCCUCUCCUUUUCUUUAUUAUUAUUUGUGUAGGCGGCUUUCUACCUUAGCCACGGUCUCCGAGACCUUAGUGGCAUCUCGGCUGCACAAACCAAGGUAGAGAGGCUGCGAGGUGAGGUUAGGCUCGGCCAGUCUCGAGAAGAGAAGUUAGGAGAGGAGGUCAGGGCUUUGCAAAAGGCGCUUGGACGACCACGCCCGGGAGAAUAGCCGAUUGUCUAGGAAGUUGGAAGAGGCGGAGUCUAAGCAUGGCGAGCUACUAUCUCGCCAACCGGAGAUGAUGGACAAGGCCUUUACUCUUAUCAUGACUGAGGUCUGGAGCAUCGAGCCUGAGCUGGUGGUAUCCCGGGUGGAGAAAUGGGUGGAUAAGUCGGCCAUCCUUAAAGCGAUAGAGGACAAGAGGGCUACCCAGGCUCCCCCAUCUCACAGCCCACAGUGAUCUUCUGAGGUACCCCAGGCGGAUCUCCCUUCGUUAGCGCUGUUCAUGCGGGUAGCCGCUCUUUGGCUGCGAGUGUUCCUGUUGAUACCCCCGUUGAGGGGAACGGUGGAAGAGGAUGUCCCCCAUCUGCUUGAUCUUACUUGUUAUUCAGAACUUUAUCUGAGAUGUCUUAGCAGCUUUCUUUCUUUGCUUCUGUACUUUUUGUAGUAUGGUAUUAUCAUUUUGAUGUGUUGGGGAUACUUGUCUUUGAAGGUUGCCUCGGCAAUCUUGCCUACUCGUUCGCAUUAACUUCUGCAAUAUACUUUAUUUGGAGUGCCAUUGAAUUCCUUGCUUAUGAUUGAUUUGCGUAGCCUUGCAGGGGUUCCUCGGGUGCCCCAGGUACCCCCCCUGAUGUAUUUUUGGCGCUUGCGUGGUGAUUUCCGUAGAUGUGCUCACUGCUCGUCUUAAUAAAGAUUAUGGUGUAUCUCAAAAUAAUUUAAUAAUUCGCACAUCAUCAUAAGAUAAAACGAAAUUCAUAUUUGGCGCAACUAGGAUAAAAUAAAGAUUAUGGCGCAUCUCAAAUAGACUUGUGGAGUUUCUUGGGUACCCCGGGUACCUUUUUUUUUUUUUUUUUUUUUUUCGGGACCUUCUUGGCCCCCCUCUUGCAGAAAUGGUCAAAAACAUGCUUGUUUUGCCAUUUGCUUCUAGUCAAUAUUUAAUAAAAUAAUGCGAAUAGAGGGGCAUGCUUGCCUACCUCGUUUCGUUUAUCUAUUCUUUACUUGGCUCAAGUAAAAGAAUGGAGGUGUGGGCGUGUGCAUACCUUAACGGAACCUCAUGGCGCUAGGGUAUGUUGGUUUACCUCGCCCUUGGGCCUUCUCUGACCCUCCUUCUUUAAUUUUGUUGUAUUAGUUUUUAUUGGCGUUGACCUCGAACAGAUCUUCACGAUCGAAUCGAAUCAGAUACCUCAGGUUCUCCUGAUUAUCUUGAAAUGGAGCAAUUAUAGCUGAAUAAGACAUGGCGUAAUAAGAGAGAGUCACAUUAAUGGCGAAAAUUUAACCAUAAUCACAUUCGGUAAUCAAAAGGAGAACAUUACAUAAGACUGACUCAUUGUCCUAAUGAGAAUAGGAAACCGUAUAGAUAUCCACUCUCUAGGACUUAGGAAUUAAAAAUUUCACUUGCACAUGUGGGGUACCCUAAGUACCUUUCAUGGCUUUACCAUAUUGCACACAUAGUAAAGAAAAUAAGAAAUAGAUAAGUGAACGAUAAGGUUUAAGACACUGUCCUCAUGUUAGUAGUACUUCCUCAGCAUUGCGGCAUUCCAGGGAUGCUUGACGAUUGUUUCAUCCAUGUGGAGUAGUCUGUAUGCCCCCGAACCUACUGGCUUGUCUAUGCGAUAUGGGCCUUCCCAAUUGGCUCCGAAAGAGCCCUCCGAGGGUACCUGGGUAUUCUGAGUUACCCUUCGUAGGACUAAAUCCCCUUUCUUGAAUGAUCUGGGGCGUACCCUCUUGUCGUAUAAAUCUGAAACGCGGCUGGUAUAUUGCAACCUUCAAUUCUGUUUUGGCCCUUUUUUCUUCAACAAAAUCAAGAUUGGACGCAAUCAAAGAGGCAUUCUCGGCUUCAUCGAAAGUUCUGUGAGAGGGUAUCCCGAUUUCAGCUGAAUGACUGCAUCAGUCCGAAAGCCAGAGAAAAUGGGGUUUCCCAGUUGAAAUAUUUUGAGUUGUGAUAGGCCAACGCCGGGUAACUCGUCUACUUAAGCUCCCUUCCUUUCCUCCAGCCUCUUCUUUAGGAUACCCUUGAUGAUUUUGUUGAUGGCUUCCACUUGUCCAUUAGAUUGCGGGUGAGCCGAAGAAGGAAAUUGUUGGUAUCCCCGCUCCGGGCAGAAAUUCUGAAAUUUUUCGUUGUCGAAUUGCUUCCCGUUGUCGCUGACAAUUGCAUUAGGGAUACCAUAUCUGCAUAUGAGAUUCCUCCAAACAAAAUCAGUGGUUUUCUCUCCGUAAUGCUUGCCAACGGCUUCGCUUCUACCCAUUUUGUGAAAUAGUCAACGGCUACAAUUGCAUACUUAGCUUGUCCUCUACCAGUUGGUAGUGGGCCAAUGAGAUCUAUACCCCAAACAGCAAAUGGCCACGGAGAAGACAUGACAGUUAACUUUUCUGGUGGAAGGUGGGGUACCCUGGCAAAUCUCUGGCACUUGUCACAACUCUUGACCAUGUUUUUGGCAUCCUCCCGCAUCGUAAGCCAAUAAAAUCCUUGACGAAGGGUCUUCUGUGCCAAUGAUUGUGCUCCAUAGUGGUUACCGCAAAUCCUUCGUGUAUCUCUCUCAUGACAUAUUCGGCAUGUUCAUUUCCCAAGCACUUUAAGUAAGGGAGGGUAAACCCUCUUCUGAAUAAGGUAUCCUCGAUGAGACAAUAUCGAGCAGCUUUGGACUUUAGGUGGCGCCCGCAUUCUUCAAACCAAAAGGCAUAACCUUGUAGCAGUAUAACCCACGGUUGGUGAUGAAGGCCGUUUUAUCUUGAUCAGGCUCGUACAUUAGAAUUUGGUUGUACCCGGAGAAAUCAUCCAUGAAACUAAGCAUCUCGUGCCCAGCCGUAGCAUCGACCAGCUGGUCUACCCGGGGAAGCGGGAAGCUAUCCUUAGGGCAAGACUUGUUUAAAUCCGUGAAAUCUACACACAUGCGCCAUUUCCCGUUAGACUUCUUAACCAAUACAAUAUUUGAGNCCUCUCUGGUACCUGUCUAAAGAAGCAUCAGUGUGAAUUAGCAGCCAGGCUCUUCCUCUCUCUCUAAAGACCAGAAGCACGAUACUCUUUUCCAGUAAUGUAUAUAUCAAGGGGAACUUUCCUCUCUUAGUGCAGAUCCUUUAAAUAUACAAUACAUGAUUGCCCUUUAAGGAGAAAUUCCAUUACAUCUCCUAGAACUAGCAUUAGAAUAUGGAUCUCUAGCAAAUAUUUCCCGGUUUGACUCUCUUACGAGUGCAUAAACUUCCCUAUUUUAAGCUCUUGGCAGGGAAGCAGUGAGAAUAGGUAAUGCAGUUGCAUGGGCUGCAACAGGUCGGAAAAGUUCUGAGAGCUUCCUAACCUGAAAAGAAAAUUUUAAAAUAUCAUAAAUUCAUGGAAGAAGCUUGAAAUAUUAUGAAUUCAAGGAUGUAAGAUGAAAUGGUCACCAAACCACUGAAGGAAAUACAAAAUUUCUACCUGUCUGGGAAUAAGCUCAAUUUUGAACUUGUGUUUUUCAUCAUAAUUUUUCUUAAUAGCCUUAUUGAAUACGCUUUCAGGGAGAAGAAGACAAUCCCCGUGGACAUUAAACCGAUCAAAAGUUGUCAGCACAAAGAUGUGGCUAAAUUUAUUAAAGAAGUGAUAAACAACUAUAGAACUUAACCUG